RNAcentral lists this long non-coding RNA (57876 nucleotides) under Gossypium barbadense (sea-island cotton). Its description in RNAcentral is "long non-coding RNA (GBAR_LNC014573)". The stretch from base 2617 to 2761 matches the Rfam family "MIR7502 microRNA precursor family". The record is from RNAcentral. Lineage: Eukaryota; Viridiplantae; Streptophyta; Magnoliopsida; Malvales; Malvaceae.
AAGAUCAGCACCAACUAAUCCGGAGGAAGAUUGGGAUUCAGUGUCUGCAACCGAGGAGCUGAAGGCUCUGAAACCCGAACUGGCUGCCUUAAGGUUGAGAAACCGCGGAGAUAAUAGAAACAACGUUGACAACGCGGCCGCCAUUAGUAAAAUGAAAGGUUUAAUGAAGUCAAAGAGGAUAUUUACAAAGAUAUGGUCAAGCAAAGCAGCCAUAGGUGAGAACAGUGGUUCAGAUUCAUCAGAGAGUCUUGGUUUUGCAAAUCCUGAAGAAGCUAAAUCAACACCAUCUAGAAAUAGGAGGCAUUCAGUUUCUUAGUAGAAAAUGUGGGAAAAUACAUUAACUUUUUGGUGGGGUUUUUUAAUGUUUUUACCUCUCCUAAUGACAAUGGUAAAUUCAAGACUAGUUUUAUGUUAACUCAGUAAAAUGAAGCAGACUAUAUACAUAUAAUAUUUUAUAUAUAUAUAGGUUUGUUUGUCUGGCCAUCGAUGAAUGCAAGAUGCCACUGCCAUGUACAUCAUGCAACACUUUUAGUAUCUGUUUCAUUUUUUUCAGUCACUCUUGAGUCCAAGAUGGGCUGAAAAUGAUCAAGUGCAUGUAAGUAGAAUAUAGUUACUAUAGAUAUCCUCAUACCUCCAAACGAAUUUACUUAGACUCUAUAUUAGGGGUGUUUCGAGGUCUUAAGUUGCAUAAGGUGAGUUUGAAUGGGCGGUGUACUUAUCUGCAAUAAGUGUAAAAACAACAGUGGCAGUGUGAUUAGAUACGGUAGGGUGAGACGCAUUGUACCACACCUCACUGCUCAUCCAAACCCACCUUAAAUUGGAUUGAACUCGUCAAUCAAAUCGAAAAUUAAUUUAUAUAUCGGUCCAAACAAAACAACAAAGGAGUUAAAAUAGUUUCAGAACGAAUUGCUGUUGGAACUGCAUUUUUUAAAUGUUUUUAACCUAAAUUAAUGGUCCAAAUUGAAAAAAAACACAAUUGGCCCAACCCAAAUACUUAAACCAGCUGGCCCAACUACUUAAAUACCUUAAAAAGUAUUUAAUAAAUGAGAAAAAUAAGGGAAUUUUUUUUUGAAUCGAUUAAAUUAUUGGCUUGUCUUAUUUAAUUGAAUAAAUUAUUAAAAUAAAUUUAAAAUUAAAAAAAUAAAAUUUAUUUAACAAAUAGUUCAACCUAUUUUAUUGGUCGGACAUUCUCAAUCCAAUAGGCUAUUCUUAUUCUAAAAACAGUGGAAAAGAAAAUAAAAACUAACCUAAAUAUAUAGGCCCGAUUAUGGAUCGGGCUUGAAAACUCGCUUAAAAAGUGAGAGGAUUUGGGUAAAAAUAUAGGCCCAAAAAAUGAUCUUGGGCAGAAAAAGAGGUUUGUUUUCUAAAAGGGCCAGACCUCAAGUAAGCUUUUUUGCCCGAAUUUGCAAAAAAAAUCUGCUGCUUUUUUCUGUUAUUUUCACUAUUUUUGUUACUGUUUUGGUGUCGUUUCACUAUUAUGUUGCUACUAUUUUAUUAUUAUUAUUUGGAUAUUGUAUAACUCUUAUUUUAUUAUUAAUUUUACUACUAUUUUAGAAGUAUUUGCUCUCUAAGAUGUACCUAUUUUAGUGUUAUUUAAGUAUAAAUAAAUUUUUAAUUUAUUUUCAAUUUUAGUGUAUUUGAUGUAUUAUAUUUUAUAAAUUUAUUUUUAUAUAAAAAUAAUAAUAUAAAAAAUUUUAAUACGGAGAGCUGAACUUAGCUUGGAUUUUAACAUUUUUAUUUGGGCCGAACUUAGACAAAAUUUUAAGCCCAUUUUUAAACCGAGCCUACAAUUCUAUUGAGGCCCUACCCGACCCAUUAUCACCAUUACCUAAAUAUAUUUGUAUCAUUAUUGUUUUAUAUAUAUAUAUAUUUGUAUUUCUAAUUUUUUUUAAAUAUUCUUUCUCAAGAAUUAGUUAUCUUCCUCCGAUUAUAACAGCAGAACAAAGAAUCAAAAGUUGGAUCUCAUACAAGCAUACAUAUAUAUAUUGUUCAAAACCCUGUUUUCCACAUAUAUUAUCCAGUUAAAAAAGAACCUUAUAUGAUUAACUGUGAAGCGGCAACAAGUUUAGCCAAACCCUAUCCAAUUAAACCCCAAAAAAACAAAAAAGAAGAAGAAGCCAUAGCUGUUACCAUACAAGUUUCUGACCGGCUUUGUACUGUUUCAUGUACCGUUUAUCUCGAAGGUGUUUUUAGAUUUUGUUAAAGCUGACCUAUCUGAUCUGUAUAUAUAAAAACUCCAUUAGCAUAAAGACACAAACAAAACCAGUAAAAUUUUGUUCACUGCUGCGUUUAUUACAAUGGAAUGAAGAAACAUUCUUGCAUUGACCAACCAUGUUUUGUGUUUUUGCAAUGGAGGAUAAAAAUCUUAUAUUAAAUUGGGUUAAUUUCAUCAAACGUCCCUAAACUAUUAUUUAGAUUCUAAAUUGAUCCUAAACUUCAAAAUUUUCUAAUUGGAUAUUCAAUGUAUCAAUAUUGUUUCAAUCUUAGGUUGAUUGAGCAGUAAAAGUAUCAUGGAAGCCUCUAUAUUAGGAGUCGAAUGUCAUUUUACCACCCCAAAACUUAAAAAAUGGGUAAAUUAGUUCUUAUACAUUAGAUCAAAAAGUAAAUUGGUCAUUCUGUUAAAAAUUAUAUUCAUUUAUAUUGUUAAAAAUUGGUCCACAUACAUCGGCAUAAGGUACACAUGGCAUGUCACAUGUCAUUGUCUAGUUAUUCUGUCAACCACACCAGUUUUUAACAAUACAAAUGAAUAAAGUUUUUAAUAUAAAUGACCAAUUUGUUAUUUAAUCUAAUGUAUAGGGAAUAGUUUGCCCAUUUUCUGAGUAGAUGGGGCAAAAUGCAAUUUGAUUCCUAGUAUAAAGGCCUCAAUGGUACAUUUACCUUAAUUGAGCUUUAGCUCAGUUGACAUCAUUGCUAUUACAAUAACAAGGAAGACAUGAAUUCAAGUGGGCUUAAGCGUGUUUUUCCUGCAAUUUAAAAGUUUAUACUUUAUAGGUAGAACUAAGCAUUGUAUAAAAAAGAAUAUUGUAUCAAUCUAGUACUUUUGUCAGCCUACCUGUCAAUUUAGGCACUAAUGUUAGUUGAUUAGGAGGGUUUACAAAUAAAAGUAGCCAUCCAAUAAAAAAAUAUAUUGUAACAAUCUAGUACUUUUGUUAGCCUAGUUGUCGAUUUAGACACUAAUGUUUAUUCGAAUUUGACAUAUAAUAUUAUUUAAAAUAUAUGAAUCAAAUUGAAUCUGGCACAUUAAAAAGAAAAAGAAUGGUGUCAAUAAAAUUUAGAAAUGUUAUUUUUUUUAACAGAUAAGAUCCAAUUUCUCCAUGCAACAAGUACACAUAUUUUACAAAUUGGCUCGCGUGUUUUAAUGAUGUUAUUGAAAUUGUCCAUAUAAUAAAUACACAUAUUUUAUAAUUUGAUUAACGUAUUUUAAACAUUCUUUACAUUAAUUUUGAACUGAGAAAAUGUCAUAAUUGAGGCAAUAUUGAUAUUUUUUAACUCAAUUAAAACAUUUUAAAAUUUGGAAAAAUGAUUAAGAAUAUGAGCUUAUGACUUGAGGAUGUCUAAUAUAAUUAACCCUAUAAAAUUUAUAAAAUCACAAAUAAGUCAAUGUUGUUUAAAUUCAAAUGGACCGUGAACUGGUGAGGAUAUCAGUUGAAAGAGAGGAAUUAGACCAAUUGAAUCAUUUGUUUUUUUUUUAAUAAUUUAUUUAAUUAAACUAGACAAAUUAAAAAUCGAUGAUUUGACUGGUUCAAUUAUCGAUCUAGUUUUGAAAACUUUAAAAUAAAUUGGAUUCGAAUACCUGAAUUUAAAAUACCAUUAAGAAAAAGGCAAAAAUCAAAGGAAAAUCUGAAUAAAUUCUGAUUCAUGGGAGAGGAUAGAGCUAAAAAAAAGAAAAAUCUGACCCUAUGAUUCUUUUUUCUUUUUUGCCCAAACCCACUUCCCAAACCUCAUUUGUCCUUCGAUUCCAUGGAAGGGACACUUUGAGAAUAAAAAGGGGAAAUUGUUUUUGUAUGCUGUGAAGGAAAGCACCAAAGCUCGAAAACGUCACACAUUUCACCCAAUCUUAGGCUCUUUUCUUUGUGGUUUCAAAUAACGCCAAGCCUUGCCUGACCCUGACCACAUUCAUUUCUUUUUUUUUUGUUGGGGGGAGGGGGGGGGGGGGAGAGGGUCAUGCAGGGACGAAAGCAAUGAAAAGUUAAAGCCAAUGGUGAUGGAUUAGAAUCCCAUUCCCCACCCAACAAAAACAAUUAAUAAAUAAAUAACUUUGAUCAAUUUUGAUUGUAAUAUAUUUGGAUUGAGUCCUAGCUUAAUUGGUAUGGAUAUUGUUGUCAAUGUAAGAGGAUAUGAGUUCGAGUGUGUUGAAAUGCAUUAUCUUCCUAUUUAUAGGUAGGGGUGUGCAAAUUUUGGAUAAAACCGAAUUAAUUCGGUCAGGGUCGGUUAAUAAUUUUUUGAAAGUUCGGUUCGGUUAAUUUUUUUUUUAAAUUUCGAUUUGGUUAACAGUUUAAAAGGGUCGGUUAAUUUAGUUAAUGAUAGUUCGGGUCGAUUAAUCGGUCGGUUAACCGAUUGAACACCCCUAUUUAUAGGUUGGAGUGAGGCUAUGGAUAGCUUUAGGUUUUGUGUAAAAAAGAGCACAUAUAUGAUUUGUUGGUAUGAGAUUACCUAUAGUGGUUAAAAUAUGUUCCAAAUUUUUGUAUUUUUCAUAUAUUUAAAAUUUAAAUCUAAUUAUUUACGUUGGUAAAGUUCUUCUAUUAAAUUUGUUGGUAUGACAUUCUAAAAUUAAAAGAAAAAUUACUUAGUAGUCAUACAAAAAAAAUGAAGAAAUAUUAACAUUACAAUUAGGGGUUUAAAUGACACAGUUGUACUUAUAAGCUAUUAAAGUUCGACUAUAAAAAAACUUGAAUUUGAUUUGGUAAUUAUUGGGUUCAAUUGAGUUUAAUUAUGAAAGUUCGAGCGACUUGCAAGUCUAAUUGAAUUUUCUUUUGUUUUUAGUAUAUUUUUAUAUCAUGAAAAUUCAGUUUUACCUUUAUUACUAGAAAGAGCUUAAUUGUGAAUAAGCUUGAGCUUAAAUAUGAAUAAACUUAAUCGAGUUCAAGUAACUCAAUUUUGUCUCAAGCCGAGCGCAGAAAUUGAUGCUCAAGCUCAAGCUCAAGCUUAUCACUGUUUGAGCUUGACUUGAUUCGAUUACACCCUUAGCUGUAAUAAGACUGAAUUUAGCAAAAGAAAUUUAACUGGGUUAACAAUAAGACUUACAUUUUUUAACUUGAAAGUAGAAGGAUUGAAUUCUUUAAAAUAAAAAAUAAGAAAACUAAUAUAUAAAAAUACAAGAGCUUAAAACAUAUUUUAACCAUUAUAUGUAUAUAUUUAUGUUUGAAUGUAAUGUUUGUGGACCAAACUGAAGAAUCGGAUAAAGACGGUGGAUGAGUGGGGAGGUGCGUGUGGGGGGUGACUAAAACUUCAAUGUGUGUGUCGGCUUAUAAAUCUAUAAACAUCGUCAUCCUCGUCCCCCUCUCAACAUCACCACCCCACCUUAUUUAUUUUCUUCCUAGUUUCCGCACUUCGUAAGUACAGUCACUUUGAUUCUAUGUUCUCCUUAUUAACCCCUUUCUCGUUAUUAAUCUUAUCCCAAUCCAACUUAUGAUUCUUUUUAAGGCUAAUUAUAUCAAAUGUCCUUAAAGUGUGGUUUCGAUUUUAAAUUGAUCACUGAACUUUAAAAUUCAAAGUAUUGAUAUUGUAUCAAUUAGACCCUCCCUCUCAUUGGACGUUAAAAUAUUAGCUCUAUUGAUACAGUGUAUCAACAGAGAUCAAGAUGGAGAGGGAAAUGGUGUUCUGGUAGGAAAAUAGAGUCGGACCCCCCUAAUAGAAUGUGUUUGAAAUUACCUAAAUCAUGAGUACAGGAUCCCGAAUCGAGUUAUUAUAUAUUUUAUUUUAUUAUAAUAGUUAUAACUCUUACUUUAUAAUCAUCUUUAUAUUUCAAACUUAUCACCAAAUUUAAAUCAAGUAUUUAAAGGUGAAAGCCAGCUGGAUUGAUGGAUUAACCCCUUUUUUCCCAAAAUAGGCUAACCCCAUUUUAUUUAAAAACAAUUAGGGUUCAACCAAAUGAAACUUCCAAAUCAAACAUUAGAUGAAACUAAUUCUUUUAUCUUUCUAAAGCUAAAAUCCAACAGAAAGAUGUAUGAAUAAUUCCGAAUAAAAAACAAAGGGUAAAUUACACCCAAAAGUACUAAAUUGUUAGUAAAUUUACGUUUUGGUCACUUAAUUUUAAAAAGUUACAAAAUAUCAUUGAACAGUUCAAAAGUUUUCAUUUAAGUCACCAAACUAUAAAAAUUAUUGUUAUAUGACAUUUGUUUGCACCAAUCAAAAGCUCUCCUUCUUUCCCUUCUUUUAUACAACUCAAUAUUUUUUACAUGAAACAAUUUGAACAUUAAGAUUUAGGGUUUAGGGACAAAAGGCGGGAGGAUGGCAAGGGCGUUGGCCUCUCUAAAUGAGAAAUUGCUUCUUUAGACCCCCAAAGAAGUAUAAAAUCUUAAUAUAUGACAAAAUUAUAGUUUCUCCCCAAAAUGCUAAAAUUUCAAUUUAGAUAUUUUGAAAACCAUUAAAAUAUAAGCUAAUACAAUGGUGAAAUUGUAUUUUAGUUCUCAUGUAAAUAUAUAAAUUAAUCUUGGGCUGUUAAAAAAAUUUCUAACCUUGCUCUUGUUGAACGUCAUGAAUUUACAAACUAAAAUCCAAAUAGUUUUAUCCUCCGAUCUCCAACAUUGAUCGUCAGAUUGACUUGAAAUUAAUGUAUGUUAUUUUACUUAUUAAUGAGUAUUAAUCCACUAUAUUAAUCAUCGAAUUGUCGUUCUGAGCUCGUUAACCAAAUUGAAUAAUAAUUAAAUCAACUUGGAUGUAAUUUAUUCUAAAAAUCAUUUGUCAGAAACUUCCAGAUCAAACAUUAGAUGAAACUAAAUCAUUUAUCAUUCUAAAGCUAAAAAUCCAAUAAAAAAUUUAUGAAUAAUGCCAAGUAAAUAUACAAGGAAAGAAUCUAACGGUCAUAGAUAUCCACGAAACAGAAUCCAACGGCUCUGCCAACUUGCCUAGGACCUCUCCAAUCUUCUCCUUCCGCGGAGACCCGGAGCCGCCUCUCUCUCUCACCCAAUUUCUUUGGAACCCCCAAAAACCCCACACCUCAAAUUUCCCCCAGUUUAACCAUAGUUAACUAUCCAAAUAAUAAAAAAGUAAACCAUGGUUAACCACCAACACUCUAUAUAUUCCUCUGGUUAGCUUCUCUUUUUAUUAUUGGCUUCAAUUAUUCUUUUCCUACCAGUCUUUUCAAACACCAUAAUAAACCUUCCUCAUUUCUUGUUCUUAUGCUAAGAGUACAAGGUUUAUCAAAAUGAGCUGCAAUGGCUGUAGAAUUCUUCGAAAAGGUUGCAGUGAAAAUUGUAUGCUUAGACAAAGCUUACAAUGUAUAGAGAACCCACAAGCUCAAGCACACGCCACCGUUUUUGUUGCUAAGUUCUUUGGCCGUGCCGGACUUAUGUCAUUUCUCUCCUCCGUCGCCAGUCCUCAAAGACCUGGUAAUUUUUUAAUGGCUUUUGUUGGAUUUUUGUUUUGGUUUUUGAUUUUUUUUUACUGAUGUGUGUGCAUACAUAUAUAUAUUUGCAGCUUUGUUUCAGUCGCUUUUGUUUGAAGCAGUGGGACGGGCAAUUAAUCCGGUGAGUGGAGCCGUGGGGUUGUUAUGGACAGGGAACUGGAACGUCUGUCAGUCGGCGGUACAAACGGUGCUCCAAGGCGGCACGUUGCAGCCGUUGCCUGAAUUUAGUGGUGGGGUUUCAGGAUCGGAUUUUGAGGAUGUUGGAGAAACGGUCGGUGUUGGUGGCGGCGGCGGCGCUGGGGGGCCGUGUAUCCAGUCGGGAGGUUUCGUUGACGUUGUUGAAUGUAAAGCAUCUGAUCUCAAUCUCUGCCUGAUGAUCGGCGACGAUGAUAGAGCGGUUAAAAGGAGAAGGGAAUCUACAUCGUCGGAAGAGUCCGAAACGACGACGUUGGGAAGCCGGUUUUCUGGAGAUGGUAAUAGUUCAAAUGACAGCUGCGGCGCCGACGGUGAAAGAAAGCUUUUAAGACUGUUCAUUUGAGAGUUUUUUUUUUCUUCUUCACAUUUUGUCUAUGUAAUUUUGAUUAUAAUUGAACGCCUGUAUGAGCUAUGAUCUUUUGUUUCUAUUUUCGGCUAUGAAGGAUGAAGUUCGAUCAAAUUUUAUAAAAUUUCGAAUUUCCCAUAAUUUUCGUAUUAUAAUUUUUGUUUUGCUCCUUCAUUGAUUUCCCAAAAAAUGAAAGAUGUGAGUGAGAAACGUUUAUGCCUUUUAUGGUUCAUGAGUUGCAAGUGAGUGGGCACUACUUCCUAUCGUGAAAUAUGAACAGGAGAAAUUGUAAAACUUGGGGCAAUCUUAAGGGGUGGCUUGGAACGUGAGAUUGCCCUUUGGCUACCCUAAAGAGUCAUUUUUAUUCUACUAUUUUGAAUGGCUUUAAAAGAAUAACUUUUUUCUAUCUAGUAUGAGACUCUUCGAUAUCCUAUACUUUUUGACACGAAAAUUCUUUGAAAUUUUAUAUUUAUUAAAUUCAUAUCGAAUCAAUCCAAGUAGAAAAACAUUAAACUCCUUGUUACAUUGAUUCAACAAUACUAUCAAACUUAUUUUGAUUGUAUUAAGAAUGUCUCGUACAAAACAAGGUCAAACAUUAUAGGUUCUGAUAAUAUAUAUUCUUUUUCUUCCCAAACCAAUAAAUAGGAGGAUAAUGCACUUCAGCCACUCGAACUCACGUUCUCCUACAUUGGUAAUAAUAUCCUUACUAAUCGAACUAAGACUCAACUCACACACAUAAUAACACUUAAAAUAAAAUAAAAUAUAGACUCAUAACUCAAUCAUAAUUAAAACAUGAAGAUAUUAAAAUAUGAAGGUGAACCACUUAAAAUUAACACCAUUAAACAUAAUCAUUUUGGUCUCUUUGUGAAACCACCCUUUGUUGGUUUGGGAUUUGGGGUCCAUUAUACCCAAUAUAUAUAAUAUUGGUGCUGUUAUUUUUCCCCGCAUCAUCACAGUCCACAAAUCAAAAUAAUGGAACCACCUUCCCCAUUUCUCUAUAUCCAUAUUCCAUGGCCGUCCUUUUCUUUCUUUUUUUGUUUGUCUGGAUUAUAAUGCCAAUAGGGUCCCCUUCCUAAUUUAUUUUUCAAUAACUGGAGACAAGGAUAACACGAGUUUCCCAAACUUCAUAGCCUCUCAACAAAUCUUAAAAAUUUCAUGCAAAAUAAUAUAUAUAUAUAUAUAUAGAUAAAUAUAAAAGGACCAUUGAUUUGCUUGGAUGGAGACACCCCUAUGCUGGUGUUGGAGUCUCUUAAAUCUCCACUUGCUUCCAUGUAAGAAAUUGACUUGUGUUGAGCAUCAAAUAUCUUGAAAUUCGGAUCCUGUCUGUAUUUAUAUUCUUUGGACUUUUAAGUAGGGGUUUAAUGAGAAUUUCUAAAAAUUUUGAGGGGUAAGUUAAAAUUUUUAAAGAUUUUGAAGGGGUUAAUGAAAAAAUGUUAAUUUUUUUCUCGUGUUUGAAGAAACAAGAAAUUGUUGCACAAUCCACAGUUACUGUUGCUGCAAAUAUUUGAUAGAUUUGCAUGGAAUAAGAGGAAAGCUGGACAAUCAAGUUGCAAUAUCAAUAGCUAAUAAUCCAAUAUUCCAUGGUAGAACUAAUCACUUCAAAAUAAAAUUUUACUUUCUUCGUGAUGUUCAAAGGGAAGAAGUGUAACUAGUUACAAAAAAUGAAUAUGCUGGUAUUUUCGGACAAGCAUUGCCUAAAGCCAAAUUCGAGUUCUUAAGACAAAAGCUUGGAGUUAAUUUGCAGCUCCAACAUCAAGAAAGAGUGUUAACUUUUAUGAUUUUUGAAGUUGCAUUAGUUAUAAUUUAUCUUUGUCUUUAAGCAAAUAUCAGCCCUUAUUUUUAGGCAAAUAAAAUAGUCAAAAGUCAAUUUAGAUUAUGAUUUGUAGACUUUUCUAAAUUUUAAUUUAAAAUUUUUACUGUAUAAAUAGAUAGUUUGGCAAUUCAAUAAAUAGUAUGAUUUCUACAAAUCCUUUAAAAACUUUCGAAUUCAAAAUGUUUAAAAAAUCCGAAAGCUCUAACUAAAUUUUUAAAACUUUUGGAAGCUUUAAUUAGAAAUUUUAAAAGUUUUGAAGGACCUAAUUAAAAUAUUUAAAAAAUUUGGAAGGCAUAAUGAUGUUGAAUAUGAAUAAGUAUUGUGAAUUGAAUUUUAAAUAUUUAAAUACCACAUAUUAAAUUCAACAAAAUUUCAUUAGCAAUAUUAUUAUUCACUACACCUUAAUUUUCAAAUCAAACUAGUAAAAAGAAAUUAAUUUCAAUUAAUUCCAAAUGUAUAAAAAGUACAGGGAUUAGAUACAUAAUUAAACCUAAUUAUAAAGUUUAAAAUAUGUUGAUGAUCUUCAUAAAAACUUAAAAGCAAGUUUAAGAAUCUUCUUCUCUUAUAUGUUUAUCCACAUAAACAAGUUUUUGCUGCUUUUCUUGCAUAAUUGAACAAAGAAUCAGUAUGUUUGAUUUGUUGGACAAAUUAAAAGAGAAAACCGGGCUUUUAAAUUGUAGCACAUGAUGCAAUAAAGAAACAUGUUCAAAAGGCAAAAGAUAGUAACGGAGGUGGAGGAGGUCAAAAAGAAAACAGAGCAGCCGGUAAAGGCGGCGGCAAUGGCAGGGAAACGCAGCCCGUGUUAGUGGUGGGGGCUUGGGGUUUUAAGUUCCCUAUGCGCCGUAACUUAAACGUGAGUUGUCGCUGACUGGCUACUUUGGUUGUGUAGUCAAGAUACAUUUUAAGUUGUCGCUGUCUUGUCUCCUAUUUUUCUUGCUGUUAGGUGUUCUUCUAGAAAACAAAAUAUUAUUUCUUAAGUGAGUUGCAGACUAGAAGGUUUAGGGUAAAUUAAGAGCUUUUAAAAAAUAUAUAAGUUGGUCAAUAGCUCUGCUUCAACUGGCUUACAUGUUAGAGCGACGAUUGGACAGAUUAUCAAUCACUUUAGAUGAAACGUAAUAGUUGGUGUAGUAAAUGACGAUUGUCGUGUGAGUCCCGCAUGACUUGACAUGAAGAAGUUAUUUUUCGAGAAUUUCUCCGAAAAGUUAUUACAAGAGUUGCUUGUGCUCCGCAUAUGCGAGGAGUUAUUUUAAUAGGCUCGCUCCGAGGGGUGAUUCCGAAGAACGAAAAUCUAACAGGCUUGUCUGAGAAGUAGGGGUAUAACAAUAUGCUAAGUUACUACUAUAAUAUAAUUCAUCAUUCCAAGUAAUAAUUUCAUUAGACAUUGUUGACCAAUACUUCCAAAAUUUGGAAAAGAUUGUGAGUGCGAAAAACUUGAAUCAUUAUAUUUAACAGAUAAAUUAAUAUGACACAAGAAUCAUGUCGUGUAGGAUAGGUUGAUGUUUUUGGUGGACAACAACAUAAUUCUUGUCAAGUAUCUAUAUCAUAUGUAUUGAGAGUUUGACUAAUAUCACUCAUUAAUCGAGUCUUAAUUCAGUUGUGAAUUUACUGUAUUUUUUUUAUAAAGGGUAAAUAUUAUUUUGAGAGUAAUUUCUUUUAUCUUUUUAUGUUUUUAAAACAAAAUUUAUAAAAUACACUCAAAACAUUAUGAAAUUUUUUCUCUAAAUUUUACUAUCUCUACUAAAGAUAUUUAGUAUUUAUAUCAACUUUUUUAUAAAUUUAUUAGAUAACAAUGGUUUUAGCCCAUAUCUUAGGUCAAGUGAAAUUACCAAAAAAUUACUUUUUUACAUGGCAAUAAAUAUUACUUUAAAGACAUUUUUAUAUUUUUAGAUAAAAUUUUUAAAAAUACAUAUAUAUAUAUAAAACAAUAUUAAAAUAAAAAACACCAUGACAUUCACUCCUUUUAACUUCAUCAUUUCAACAAAUUUCAUAUUUAAUUUUUAUAUUAACUUUUGAAAAUUUUAUUACAUAAUUGGUUAUGAAUUUGUUCGAAUCAUAGUUUGGUAAUAGUAUCAUUUUUUACACAUAUUUUAUUAUAUAGGUUAGCAAUAAACUAAUUUAAUUAGUAAUAUUUAAUCAUUCCGGUGACUUUUUUUUAAUGAAGAGAAAGAAAUUUUUCACUUAUUUCGAAAAAGUUUUAUUUUUUACAAGAGUUAUUACUCAUGUUUCUAAUUUUAAGUUUAAAUUUGUACUAACUAUUAAUUUAUUUUAUAUCUAUUACAUAUGUAAUAAAUAAUUUUUUCGUAUAUUAUUACACUAGUAACUAAACGAGGUAUGAUGUUAAUCUAACUCCUCCAAUAAUUUACCCUUCAUAUUUUAAAAUGAUGUUUUUUUUUUGGUAUAAUGAUUUAUUUAGCUUUCGAAGUUUAAAAAAAUUCAUUGUUCUUAAUUUAAUUUUUUGUCUCUUUUUAACCGUUGAACUUAUAAUAUUUGUCAAAUCAUUCCAAAAUUAAUGGAUAAGAUAUCCACGUGGUCCACGUGUAUUAAUAAUUAUAUAUUUUUAUAAUAUUAAUAAAUAUAUUUUUUUUAAUUUUUUUUUAAAAACGAUUAAUUAUUAACAUGACAUGCACAUGUAUGCCACAUCAAUAAAGUUGUUAGACGUUAAUUUUUUCAUUCAUUUUAAGAUAAUUUGACAAACAACACAAAUUUAAAUGCUAAAAAAUAAAAAAAUAAAAUUAUUAUUUUAUAAAAUUUAAAAAUUAAAUAAAUCGUUAUCGCUUUUUUUAUAUUAGUAUAUAUUCAUUUUACUAUUUAUAUUUUCAAAUCCAGUAAUUUCGUAAAAGAUGAAAAUGCACACUGUUCUAUAGUAUCAUAACAUUACAAGUUGCAACUGGAACAGAGCUUGCUCCACUGAAAACACCAGGGUUAUGUUGGGAAACAUUGAAUGUGGUAAUAAAAGAAAUCAUGAACUAGAAUUUUGGUAAUGUCAGCCCCUAUCAGCAUGCCUCUCGUGAUUCUCCAUGAUUCAUGAACGCAGUACGUUCAUGUCAGAUGCACGGCAUGAGAUACACGUUAAUUGUAUUAUUUUGUUAAUUAGACUAAUUUUUAACAGAAACGACUAAUUUAAUUUUUAAUAUAAUAUUUUGAGACUAAUUUGUUAUUUUUGUAUAAAUUAAAAUAAAAUAUAAUCUAAUUCCAAGACAGAAAAAGACAAAAUAAACCAUGGGUCAUAGCUUCAUGAUGAAGAAAGUUCAUUCAAUUCCAUUUGGUGCACUGAAUCUUGAUUACAAUCACACAACAUCAACGUGAAUGCAGUUAAUAUGAAUAUAAGGAUAAAAAUGGAAAUGGGGACUGUAUCUAUAAGUUGAACAAGCAUCAACAAACAUUAUACAUAGAUGAUUAAAUCAAACCAGGCCAAGAAAAUACAAUGAUAUUUUUGGUUAUUAAAAUAUUUACAUAUACAAUGCUUUUUUCCUUUGCAAGUAUGCAGAAAUCAGUUGAAAAGGAAAAGCCACAUUCUAAAAUGAGAAACCCGAACCUAACUAUAUUCGAUCCGCUCGUGUUUUGUCCAGUGACCGCAUCCAGACAUCAGAAAAAACAUUGAGUUUGAAUGUAAUGUUAGGAUUUACGGUGAGUAGUCAAAUAAAGAUCAGUUCUAUGCAUGUGUUGUCAAGCAGCCGGUAGUGGGUACACGGUUUAGUAGUAUUAUAUGUGACCUCAAGCUACAUUCGUUAACCUAAUUGAAAAAAAUGGACCUUUAAUGAUAAGCAACAAUGAGCAGAUCAAGUGCAGAAUAGUUUGGAAUGUAAAACGGAAUGUCGUAAUUACCUGGAUGGCAGCUAGCGUGGACAAAUGUUCUUUACAUUGUUCGAGCAAAAUCCUUUCGUUUGUGGCCACACUCACGAGUUCGUUCACCAAAGAAUUCAUUUCCUUCACCUGCAAAGGACAAAUGGUACUGUUAAUUUGGAAGGUUUGAUUUGCCACUUUUAUGAAAUGCAAAUUCGGGUGGAAUAUAAAUAAGCAUGAGGAUUUUCUUCUGUCCGGUGGUAUUCGUUACAGCUCUUUUUUUUUUUGGUAACGCUAACCUUUGAUGAUAAUGAGCAUAUUGAGGAUGCCAUUGCGUGCAUCACAUCAACCGCUGAACCGACGGCAUCCUUCAGAUUCUGGAUGUCUACCUAUUAAGAGAGAAAAACGGAUUGUCAUAAGAGGAAGAAUUAACAGAUUGUAUAUUCAAAUGCAGAGAAAAACGGGAAAAAGGAAGAAACUUACUAUCGCUUUUCCAACAAUUGGAAGACGAAGAGUACUGGCCUUUAAAGCUUCAGUUGCUCCUAGAAAAGAACUCGAGUGAUCUCUAUCGAGGACUGCCCACGCUUCUAAAUGAGCUAUCUACAGUCGUCAAUCGUAACAAGUUUUAGUCAUGACGAAGAGUCAAAUUUAUCCGUCUUGAUUAGGACCAACCAAUAUUCGCUAACUACUAAUGUGGUGAUAAAAGUGAACGGUGAUUGCUUCUAAAGCAUGUUUCUAAAGGGAUUGGUAAAGCCCGAGUCAAUGUAUGUAUGGUCAAGCAGCCCCCUUAAACCCUUGCAGAAAGCUUAAAAUUUCCUCGUUAUAAUACCCAAGUCCCGGUUUUGAUAAUUUCGUUCUCAUCAAAUAGUAUUUCUAAAAGUAGUGCUUUUUUACUUUCAUCAAUUGAGACCGAUGCAGCAUGUGGUUUCUUCUGGACUAAGCAAAGCAUGGAUACAGACAUAAAUAACAUGUUCUAUAUGAUAAAUACGAAGAAAGUAAAAAUAGAAGCAGUUGUAUCUAUGAAAAGAUCUACACAAUUCGAUGCUUAAAUGAAGUCGAAGUUUCGGAUCUUACUUGUCCCUUCAGGAUGGAAGUCAGUUUCAACUUUUGCCUCAGUAAUAGAAACUUCAUUCUCUUAAGAGUGAUGGAAUGCAGCAGUUCCGAUAUUGUUACCCACACAUUCCACAGAUUUUUCUGCUACAAAAGAAGGAACAUUCACCAUGAACAUACCGGACUUAUUAGAGAGCAUCACGAAAGUGAUAACCCCAAAUUCACAAAUUUAUUUUCCGAACCGGCUAUUGCAUAGAAAACCUAGCCAUUCAUGCUCAUUGUAUAGCAAAACCCUGCAGCUCAACUUUAGUACUAGCUCAUAUUAUUAGCAAGUAACGAAACUAACCAAUCAUUAAUCGCAUUUACCAUUCAAAAACAUGACCAUUAUAUGCAAGAACUAUGCUGUCACUUGCAGUACAAGUAAUCUUUAUAGUAAAAUAGUUGGGUUCGGCUUGUUUGACAAACUAUUACAAUGAAGUAAAUCGAAAAAUUCAUCAUCGAACAUCUUUGGCAACAACAAGAUGGACAAGGAGGAUUAACCAUACCUCUGCACUGAGUUCCUGCACCAUGAAAGUAGCUUCGGCCCUUGCAUUCGCGAAUCUCCAUUGCAAAUAACGGUUAUAAAGAAGUCUCAACGUGUGUGCAUCGACAAUCCGAUCCUCCCCCAUUCUCCCUCUCCGAAUAUCAGCAGAAAAGCUGAGAAUUGAAGGAGAAUUAACCGAAUUACCAAGCAUCUGACCACCACCAACUGCAUUUCUCACCCGAGCAGGACUUAGCCCCCUUAAAGGAGACGAAGCCGAAGACGUCCAAAGCUUACUAGGAGAAGCAGGUCUAGUACUACCUAAACUUUUUGGAGCACUGAUUCUAGACCCGGGGCUCGUAAACAACGGUGAACCUGGAUCCUGCAACUGCCUUAACCGGCUAUUCGUUUCUUGCCAAAACCGAGCAGAUACAAGGAUAUUAUGGGAACCAUUCCUCCCUUUGGAAACCCCAUUUCCUCCAUUGGUGCUACCAGAUGACACACUAUCAGUAUCAGAUGCAGUGAGAUCAUAAGAAACCUCAUUUACAUAAUUGGCAUCAAGCAUUAAUGAUUGUUGCAAUGACUUAACCAUCACUGCACCAGAUCCGAGCAUUUUCCUUUCACCAUAACAAUCCAAGCUCCUCGACAGCGGAUUCGAACCCGAACCCGAACCCGAAUUCGAAUUCCCUUCCCGGGUUCUCCCCGGCCAACGGUGCCGAUCCACCGGUUUUGAGUUCUCAGCGUGAUCUCUCACUGGAGUAGUUUUACGCCUCUCGGGAGUUACUGCUUUCCUAGUACAACCCACUUGGGGCUUAGCCUUACUAACCGGAAUCGAAAACGACUCACCUUGAAACGAAACGGAUAAGCUCCUCGAUGAAGUGAUUAACAUCUUGGUAGCAGCUGAUAAUUCAGUGGACACCUGGUCACCAGGCCGCCUCCGGUCCACGGAUUGAGACCGUUUAGGAAGCACCGUCGCCGUUUUAUUCCCCGUCGUCGCCACCGCUGUCGUAUUAGUAGAACGGGAAAGAAGAGGAGAAGGGAAUCUCGUCGGCAACUUGGCUGCUGCUGCCGCCGCCAUUGUUGUUGCCGCUGAAGAAGAAGGAGACAAGUACCGUGAAGGAACUUGUCUACCUCUGGGUUUUCUUUUAACGGUGGAGCCAUUAUCGUUAAGAGGAGACCAUUUUUUCGGGGUGUCUUCGUGAUGGGUACUUUCUGGGGGAGUUUGUGAAUGAGAAAAUGCAGCCACCAUCAUCAUUAGAGACUGCCAAAAAGGAAAUUAAUCUUCUCUUCUACAUUUCCUUGGAAAGAAAAUUCUCAGUAUUAACAACCAUGGGUCUUCCUUUUCAUGGCUGAUAAACCUGAAAAAUAAUCAAAAUAUACAAGAUUUUAAGCAAUUCUCACGAUAAUGGAGAAGAACCCAUAAAGGGAUUCCAAAUGAUUCUGCAUUUAAACUCCAAUAGCAGUGAAAAACCCACAAAGAUUUUCUGGGUUUUCUAAGAUACUGAAGAAAAUAGUAUGUAUGAGGUGAGAUUUGGAAGAAGAAAAACUAAAAAAAGAGUUCUUAUGAAUCUUUGGAAAGAUGUUUAGGUUAAUUAGUUAUUCAUAAAUUAUAUUUGAGUUCUAAUGAAUUGAAAGCAUUAUAAAUGAAACUUUAUGGUGUAAAAUCAUAUAGAAAUCCAUUCAGAAACUGAUUAUAAAAUAAUAAACUUGCUUCUUCUUUUUCCCUUAAUUUUUCAGAUUUCUCGAUAAAUCAAUCUCAUAACUAUUUCAGGUUAACUGUCCCCAUUCCCAUUCUUUAAAAACUUGAAUACAUUUUAUUCUUUUGAAAUUAAUUAGUAUUGGGUAUGGUAGGUACAUCAAUUGAAUACUUAUGUUUACAAUGUUUGAUGCAAUUACUUGGUUUUUGGUUUAUAUUUUAAUCGUUUAAUUUUAAAAAGUUAAAAAAUAAUUAUUAAAUUAUUUGAAAUUUUUAUUUAAAUCACCAAAUUAUUAAAAUUGUUAUUGUAUGACCUUUUUUAUUUGCACCGCAUGCACCAAUCGAAAGUUUUCAUUCCCUUUUUCUUCUAUAGUUUAGUAUUUUUUUUUUAUAAAACAAGUUUGAACGUCACGAAUCUGCAAAGCAAAAUCAAAACAGUUUUCCUCUCCGAUCUUCUGCAUUGACCACCAAAUCGACUUGGAGUUAAGGUAUGUUCUUCUAUUCGUUGAUGGGUACUUAUCCAUCGUACCGAUCGUCGAAUCAUUACUUGGAGCUCACUAGCCUGGCUUAUGAAAAAAAAAAACUCAACACUCCGGUGACUUAAAUGAAGACUCUUGAAUAGUUUAGUAACUAUUUUAUAACAUUUUGAACUUAAGUGAACCUUAACAUAUAUUUACUAAUAAUUUAAUAUUUUUGGGUGUAGUUUACCCUUACAAAAUAACAAUGUAUCAAAUAUAAAAUAGACAGAUCUCAAAAUUAUACAUGAACUUUGAUUUUGUGUAAUUAUACAGACGAAAUUUUGAUCGUGGUUCAAAUGCAUAAAUGAAACUUUGAUUUUAAUUCAAUUAUAAAUAUUUAAAGAAACGAAGAAAUCGAUAUAUUUUUAUAUUGGAUAAAUUCAAUUGUCUGUGUAUGCAAUAUAAAUAUAAAAUGAUGAUAUAUCGAUAAUUAUAUUAAAAGUUUGUAAAAAUUAUAUCAGAUUAAAAUUUCAUGUAUAAAAUUAUAUAUUAAAUUAAAAUUUAUAUAAAAUUAUAAAAUAAUGAGAAUAUAUAAUCUUAUUAUUAUAAGUAUGAAAUAGAAGAGAUAAAUGAUGAAUGCCAAUGUUAUAUUUUACAACUUUUUGUAUAAAAUCUCUAAAAGUAAAAUUAUAUGAAUAUGAAGAUGACCUUUCAAAAUUAAAUUUUUGUUUUCUUUUUUGUAGUACAAAAAUUGAGUACUUUUCAAUCACAUUAAGCAACUAUCUACUUCUUCAAUUUGAAGCAUACAUCAAUGAGGACCAUGAAUUAUUUAGGGAAAAAAUUAUAAAUAUUAAAAUUACACAUUAAUUUCAGUUUAAUGUGUAAUUUGAUAUAUAAAAUUUAAUCUGAUAUAAUUAUACACGUAAAUUUUUUUAUCAUGAUUUAUAUAUACACAAUCAAAAUUUUGUUUUGAUUUCAAAAACGUUGAUGAUGUUAUUAGCCUUUUGUGAAAAUUGAAUCAAAUUACACAAAAUCAAAGUUCAUGUAUGGCAUUACACGUUGAACUGAAAUUUUUUAUAUAGUUUUUUUAUAUUUACCCAUUAGUUAUAAAAUGUAAGUUUUGUUAUUUAAAUUUUUUUUUUACAUUCUCAUAGUUAAAUUUGGAUGAGACUGGACCUAAAUUUAAAAUAUCAUGUUUACAAGUUUGAUCUAAUUUGAACCGAAUAAACAUAGGUGAAGCUAGAAAAAAAAUUUAGGGGAGGCUAGAUUUAGGUUAUGCAUUUUUUAUGAGAGUUGAAAUGUAAUUUCAUCAUUGUAUUAAAUUAUAUUUUUCUUAAUUUUUUAAACAAUUAAAUUAAUUUUUUAUUAUUUUGGGGGUCAAAAUACAAUUUAACUAUUUAUUAACUUAUAAUUUAUAAACUUUAUAGGGCCAAAAAUGUUAUAUUCUUAUUUUAGGAGGCCCUCGCUUUGGCACCUGCCACCUCCUCAACAUCACCCCAGUCAAUGAAUAUCCUGACCAUUAAACAUGUUUAAUUUUAAAUCGAACAAUAAAUCAUAAAAAAAUAACAACUAUUUACAGUCCAAUAAAAUAUAAUUAUUAGAAUUUAAAUUUGAAAUGUAUUAAUUAAUAUCUUUUAAAAAUAAUUUUACAAACCAACUAAUUUAACCUAUGAAAAUAAAAAGCACAAAUCUUUGUAUUAAUGUUACAUUAACUUGAUUAAAAGGUUGAACAAUUUAAGCAAAGGAGGGACAUGAAUGAGCUACCCCCCAUGAAAAGAGCUUCCAAGCAGCUGAGGUUGAUGCAAGUAACUGAGCCCUUGUAUUAUUUUUUUUACUAUUGUUCACGUGUUUACAUUUGAUUGACUUAAACAGUCACGUGAGAUUUAUUUUUAAUGCAAAUGGGGGCUAACAUGAUGGAUGGAAUAAAAGUAAUGAACGUAAAGUGAUAAAAAAAAUGUAGUAAAAGGGCCAAAGUAAAAAAUUCACUAUAAUACAAGGGCUAAAAUAAGCAUUAACCCAUUUAAGAAAAAAAUUUAUUAAAAAGAAGGAAUGGGAUUGUGAUUAUUGCAAGCAAAGCUAUAACCCAUUUGUUAAUUUUAGUUUAAUAUAAGAUGGAAUGUCUCUAUUUCUCUCUCUCAAUCUCUAUUCUUCCUUCCUUCCAACUCUUUUUUUAAUUAUUUUUCCCCUUUUUUUUAAGUUUCUAAUAUGUCAACUUAUCCUUCUGUUGUCAUUUUAUAUAUAUUAAUUUUCAUUAUUCAACUUUAAAAAGUUACAAAAUAGUCACUAAAUUAUUUAAAAUUUUUUAUUUAAGUCAUUGACCUAUUAAAUUUUUUUAAAAGUUCGGCUGAUGAGCUCCAAGCGACAAUUUGACGAUUGGUAUGGUGGAUUAGUGCCCAUCGACAAUGAAGAACAUAUAUUAGAUCUAAGUUGAGCGGACGGUCAGUGUUGGAGAUCGGAGAAAAAAGUUGUUUUAAUUUGGGUUCGCAAAUUCAUGACGUUAAAGAUUGUUUCAUAAUAAUAAAAAAUAUAUACUAUAGAAGAAAAGAAGAAGGAGAACUUUCGGUUAGUGCAUGUGGUGUGAAUAGAGAAGGCUAAACAAUAACGAUUUCAAUAGUUUGAUAACUUAAACGAAAACUUUCGAAUAGUUCAGUGACCAAAAUAUACAUUCUAAUAGUUUACUAACUUUAAUUUACCCGGAAGAUAUUAAUAUAAAAAAUAUAAGUUAUAUAUAAAAUAAAUAUAUACUCCAUAUAUGUAUGAAAGUUGAAACCCAAGGAAGUGAAAAACAAUGAUAUUAGUCAACUAUAAGAAAAUAUAGGAAAGGUGGUGGGUCGUUUAUUUGAUUGUUCCACACUUGUAAUCAUAUGAAAAUGACCCAAGCAAAAUGCUUAAAUUAUUAUUUUUAUAAUUAUUUAUUAAAAAAAAUGGGUGUUAUGAUCCAUAUGUCUAAAAACAAAUAGAAGUUUCUGCUUUGCUGCUGGGUUUACAUCAAAGCCCUUUUUAUAUAAACAUUCUUUUACAUUUUUAAUUCCCUUAUAUUCUGGAAAAUAUAUGAAGUUUAUGAACUAAUAUUUUGUUAUCAUCUACUUUAAUUUGGAUAGUAACGAUGGUGGUAUCAAAUAUUAUUAGUUUUAUUCGAGAAAUUUUUGAAGUGUUAUUCACUUAGACGAAUGCUAUUAUUCCCGAUCAAGGUUUUCUUGGUAGUAUAGUUGCGCAUACUCUUAUAUGCUCACAAUUUCUUGGUAGGCUCAAGCACUCGGCUCUUGUCAAAGUAAAGACAAAGCUGUGACGGAUUAUAAUUAAAUUGGAACUAUUGAUGAAUUUUUAAAUUUAACCAUUGAAAAAAAUGAAAGGGAGGUUGCAACUGAAGAAGGGAAAGAAAAGGAAAAAAAAGGGUGAAGGCGUGAAUGAGAACACACACAUUCAUGAUUAAACCAAAUGCAUGAUUAAACUAAUUAACCAACAAUUAGACUUUCUAAUUAGAGGCUGUUAAGACUUUGUAAUUGGUCAGCUGACUUUAGCUUGCAAUUUCGUCAGCAAAUUGUUGAUGUUGUUAAGCUAUGACUUACGAAAUGAUGGUGGCUAGAUGAAGGAUGAAAACUUUUCAAACAUUGCAGCCAUGUGGCAUAGAAUAAUUGGUUUGGAAAUGAAAAAGACGUCAUCAUCCACUAAGUCAUGUUCUAAUUUGUUUGUUUAUUUUGGCGUUGUAUCAGUCUAACCAACUUUCUAAGUGAUUACAUACCUGUGAAAUGAAAAUGAUUGUUGUUGCUUUCCAACUAUGCUUCUCUUUUCCACUUUCGCCUCACGGUAUCAGAAUACAAAUUAUUCGAGUUUGAUUCGAAAAAAACUCAAAUCCCAUUCAAUAACUAUCAAACCAAGCUUAAACUAUCAUACUUGAUCUCGAGUACGCAAAUUGAUACACAAGUUUAACUAAACUCAAGUAGUUCAAUUAUGUCUCAAACAAAAUUUAAGCUUAAAAAUUAAUGUUUGAUCAAGCAUGAGCUUACAAAUAUUGAACCGAAUUUUGGCUCGAUUACAUCCUAUUAUUAUGACUCUUUUAGAGGAUCCCAAUUAAAUCUGGAGCCAAACUCAAUCAAACUCAACUCAAUUUUCUACAUUCAUCUAAAGUCUUAAAAAAAACAUUCGUCUCCACCCGAUUUAAACAAACAUGGGUUCAUUCGUUUCUUCUUUGAUCUUUCUUUCCUACCAUUCAAGCAAAACCCAAGACUAUUUUACUGAUUCCGCAUGCGCAAAAGCAUGUAUCUUAGUUUAUUUAUGCCAUUGUUCUAUGGCACCACCUGUCUUGGGAUCUAAGAUACAAAAUAAAUAACAAACAUGUUUUUAAAAAGGAUUUAAUUUAAAAAAAAAAUCAUUCAUCUUCACAUCUCAACUAAAUAAUUGUGAUUGGUUACCAACAAAUUUCACCACGUGCUUUUAAUUCGAUUUCUAACCUUUAAAAAGAGACAAUAACACAAACAAGAUUAAAGACAAAGGUUUGGUCUGAAUCAGUGUAGGAAUUUAAAGAACAUCUAAGGGAAGAAAGCCAAUUUGACAAUUAUUUGAACCAUUGUUAAGCAUAAAUUCUAUCAUGAAGAAAGGUACAGAGAGGGUACAAAAGAUAACUUGAAGAUGAAGGAACUUAAUGAAGGAAGUUGGUGAAAUAGACAAUUUGCAGAUACCCUUUUUUUGCUAGUUGUUGAACUCACUUUUAAAUCUUGUCAACUUCUAUAUAUAUAUAUGAAAACAUGACCUCAUCUCUCACUGAAUAUCACACAAAGAACUUUGUUAAGCAACAUCUUAACAGGAGAAGUUGAUAUCUUAGCUCUCUUACAAGGAGUAUUCUAUGUUUAAGACAUAUUGCCUACUGUUUAGGAAAAAAAAGGGACCAUUAUGCAUAAAUAAACUUAAAAGCUAAGUUAUGGUGCAAUAGGGUAGCAUUACAAACCUAUUAUAAACGUGCUAUAGAGGCCCACAAGUUAAGUAAACUUCUAGAUUAAAUUGGGAUUUUACAAUCCCUCUGUUCUCUAAUGAGAGACCUUGGAUGACCCAAGAGAAAAUGAUUCUAACAUGCAUGAACCAUACUAAAACCGAAUCGCCCAAAGCAAUAGCAUAUUUUACAUAAAGACUACAAUUUUGACGGUUUCAAUGAGUAACUAAUAACUGCUAAAUGCUAAUCGUUUUUCGAAUAUCAAAUGUGACAGUAAGACUUCAGAACCAUACAUUCUGUGGGUUUUAAGGAAUAAAUAAUUUAAGCCAGCAUCUUAAUUCCAUUUAGAGAACACAGGAAAUGCCAAUAACCAACAAGAUCAUCACCUUGCAAGGACAAUCAAUAAGCACACUUAACAAUAUGCAGUCACUCCAUGGACCAUACUAAUCAAACGCCUUUAACACCAUAACAAGACCAAACAAUAAGACUUCAAAACUAUAUGUACUGUGGUUUUUAAUGAAUAAACUACGUAAGCCAACAUCUAAAUCCAUUUAGAGAACACAUAAAAUGCCAAUAAUCAACAGGAUCAUCACAUUGCAUAGACAAUAAGCACACUUAACAAUAUGCAGCCAUUCCAUGGACCAUACUAAUCAAAGUCCUUUAACACCAUAGCCUAUGACCAAAUAUGACAAUAAGACUUCAGAACCAUACAUUCUGUGGUUUUUAAUGAAUAAACAAUUUAAGCCAACAUCUUAAUUCCAUUUAGAGAACACAUGAAAUGCCAAUAAUCAACAAGAUCAUCACAUUGCAAUGACAAUCAAUAAGCGCACUUAACAAUAAAGAAAAUACCAAAUUAAACCAGUAUGAUUACUUCAUUGAGGAACCACAAAGUAUUCUUAGUUCAACAAUCACUUUGGUAAUUCACCAAAACAAAACAGCAUCUUGUUCUUUCAAAUUCAAAAAAAUAAAAAUACUAACAUACUACAGAAGGCUCAUAGAGGGACAAAGUCCUUCCUACUUUACACCAUACAAAAUUCUUCAACGGUACUGCAAAGGAAAAAAAGACAAGAAAACACCCAAGUUUAAGAAACUGUUGAUAUGAACAAUUAUGAAGAUUGAAGAUUAAGAUAACGUUAACCAUCAAAAGAGUAAUACCUUGAUGAAUCCGAUUUCCUUGGCAUUGCUACGGAAGCACUGCCUGCAACACAUGAGACCGUACUUCCUGAUGAUGGCAUGGGGGUUCCCACAAACACGGCUAUCAAAACAAAACAAAACAAAACAAACAACCCUAAGUCAUUGUAACAUAAUAAAACACAACAAGACAAUAACAGAUUUGACAAAAGCCUAAGAUGCUACUACUCUCACAUUUAUUACUAAUAAUCUCGAACAAAGCAAAUUCCCAGCCACUAACACUUAUAUGCAAAAAUAAAAUUGCUACAUCGUUCGAUUAGGUAUCGAAGAAAUCAACAACCUAAAUUUUGAUUUCAUUCCGUUGUACUACUAUAUGCCUAAAAUAAAACAUCAGUCGGAAAACUAGUAAUACAUGCUAAGGAGUUAACAAAAAUAGCUCUUGGGAAUUUUGCAAUGCAAUGCAAUGCAAAAAAAAAAAACAGAGAGAGAUGAAACAGUUACCAGGCGCGAGAGCCAGGGCCGUAGGUUUGGGGGUGAGAGUUCCAGACGUUAGAGUGACCCAUGAUUGCUCUGAAAAUGCGAGAGAAAUGAGACUGGAAUUGAAAACCCUAGAUUUCACGGAGGUGUUUGGAUCAUUUAGAAAAUGAUUAUAUAUAUGCGGAGCCUAAAACCCUAGUUUCCGAAUUAAGCGGGGCCCCGAUUUGCUGACCCGUAUACAGCUGUGGGUUUGAUUGUUCCAUAAAAGCCUAUUUAGGCCCAAUAACAUCUCCUGGCCAAACUAGUUUAUAAAUGGCCCAAUAAUAUGAUUAAAUUAAAGAUGAUAUAUAAAUGAUUUAAAUUGAAGUUGCAUUUUUAAAUCGGAAAAACACAUUAUUUAAUUAAAAAACAUAGGGUAAACUAUAUUAUUAGUUACUAAAUUAUGAUUAAGUUUUAUUUUUAGUCACUUAACUAAAAAAAGUUACAAAUUGGUGACUGAAUUAUUCUAAAGUUUUCAUUUAAGUUUUUAAACCGUUAAAAUCGAUGUUAUAUGGCUUUCUCUGUUCGAAAUAACUAAACCAGUUGGAAGCUCUCUUCCCCCUUCUCAUCUACAGUUUAGUUUUUGUCAUGAAAUAACUUUGGACAUCAUGAAUAUGCAAACCGAAAUUCAAACAACUUUUUUCUCUAAUAUCUGACAUUGACCGUUAGAUCGACUUGGAUUUAAGGGAUGCUCUUCUACUCAUUGAUUGGUACUAAUCUACCGAACUGAUCGUCAAAUCGUCACUUGGAGCUCACUGACGGAACUUUUUUUAAGAAAAAGCUUAAUAGCUCAAUGACUUAGAUAAAAACUUUUGUAUAGUUUAGUGACUUAAAUGAAAACUUUUGAAUGGUUUAGUGAUCAAGUUGUAACUUUUUUUAGUUAAAUGAUCAAAAUGAAAAUUUAACCAUAAUUUAGUGACUAAGGGUAGAAUGUACCCAAAAAUAAAAGCAUGGAACUAAAUUGAAGGAUAUUUUAACCCUAAAAGACUCGUCUUUUGCUGGCAGGCUUCAUGGCGAACCGAGCGGGCUCUUCAUCGUCACGCCUGGUAACCAUUGAUUUCAUCACUAAUUGAUCUCUAAAUACAGCUUCACUUGAAAAAUAACCAUCGACACAUUUGUUCUUUAACACUUCUGCAACUAUUCUGCUACUGAAUUUUCUUGAGCAUUCCAUUUCCCAGUAGUUUCUUCCAUUUUCACUAGUUUUUUUUUUUAAUUCAUUUGCGUUUUCAGGAAACCCUUCACGAAGAAGAUGAUUACGACUCAUACGGCGCCGAAUCAGGAUGGGUGGAAGCUAAAACGCACUGUGAUCACUUGCCUUCCCUAUCUUCUGAUCUCACUCACAUUCCAAUCCCUAGCACUCCCUGCAGCAGGUCAUUAUCCCCUAUGUUUUUUGAAUUCUAUAAUUCUUGUUAAACUUCUUUAAUUCAUGUCCUUGUUUGGUUGAUUAUUUUGAUACUUCUAAUAAAAAAUUGGGUUUAGACAUUUAGUUUUGUAACAUAUUUGCAGUUAAUUUUUUGGCUUAAUUGCCUAUACCUGAAGUGAUCUUCUGAUUCAUAUUGAGGGACUAUUAAUAAUUGGCGAAUCUAGGAAUACAUGGUUAAGGGGAUCCAAGAUUAAAUUAUAAAUUUUUGUGUUAAAUUGAAUCAUUAAGCUUUUAGAAUAGCUAAAAUGCAAUUUUUAUAUUUUAAUCAAGGGAGGCUAAGGUCCUGCCUAUGGCAUGUAAAUGAGAUACCAGUGCUUAUAAGGGAUUCGAGUUCAACUUGAAAAUUUUGAAUUCAAUUUGGUAUUUAUAGAGUGAGCUCAAGCUUGCUAUCAAUCAAGCCAGCAAAAUUUGAGCAUUUUAAUACUCAAUUCAAAUGGAUCAUGAGCCUAAUCGAGUUUUCUUUUUUAGUACAUUUUUAUAUUAUCAUGUAGAAAGAGCUUAACUCCGAACAAGCUUAAUCAAGCUAGAGUUCGAGCUUGAAUACGAAAAUUGAUCAACAAGCUUAGUUUAAGCUCAAGCUUGAGUUUAGAAAUUCAUGUUCAAGUUGAGCUUGAGACAAGUAUUGAGUCCUGAACUUUGAGUCGAGUUUGAGCUUGAACUUGUCACUAAUCGAGUUCUGCUUGACUCGAUUACACCUGUAGGCCCCUGCUUGCCCUCCUUUGCAUCCACCUCUGCUAUUAGUAUUUUAAGUAAUUGAGCUACUAAAACAUCUCUGAAGUUUGCAUUUUUAGGAUUCUUUAAUGUAGAUUUUUAGGGCAAGAUCAUACGAAUUCAUUAUCCUAAUCUUACAAAACAUUUUAUGCAUACAAGGUGCCAGCACCCAAGUGAGAAUUGGUUAUGCUUGUCCUGCAAAGUUGUGCUUUGUAGCCGUUUUGUGAAUAAGCAUAUGCUUGAGCAUUAUCAGCAAACAACCCAUUCCAUAGCGCUCAGUUUUAGGUAUGUAGUUAUAAUUGCCUUCUUUUUUAACUUCCCAUUUUGCUAUAUAUUUGUUGCUCGAGAAAGAGAAAGUAUCUACGGAAGUUUUUCUCGGUAACUUCUUUUUUCUUGGUUGUGUGAAUCCAGUGACCUGUCAGUUUGGUGUUUUGCUUGUGAUUCUUAUCUCGAUGCUCAAUUGAUUCAGCAACUGCGACCUUUUCAUGAGACAGCUUACAUAUUGAAAUUUGGUCAAGCCCCUCCUUUUCGGUCUGUUGAAUCUUCUCGGGUGGAAGAUAAACCGGCCAUGGAUGUGCCAUCAAGCAGUUGAAUCUGGUAUGGUUUUUAGACCGAAGGGCUGUAAUGGCAAAAGAAGGCUAGUUUGGAAUUGAAUCAAACAAUAAAUUAGUUGAAUUUAAUUAUAUGAGUUCUGUUCUAUGCAUACUGAUGGCUAGAAAUAGAUGGCUUUUUCAGGUUCAUAUUGCCUCUUCCAAAUACAAAACCACAUAUAUUUACUCAGUCUAGGUUAAGGCAGAGAAAAUUUUGCAUACCUUAUUCAGCUGUUGAGAUCUUGCUGCCCUUAUGAAUUGUUUCAAUCUCAACACAUUUAAUAAUUUACACAAACAUUUGAUCUUCUGCCCAUAUAAAUUUACUCAGUCUAGGUUUUUAUCUGAAUUGUUCUUUGAUAUUGAAUAAGUCUUCAUUAGACGACCAGGCAUUCUGUUACACAGAAUUUGCUGCCAUGUCAUAGACCUUGUAUUACUAAGGUAACCUGUGUGUUUCGGUUGUCGAGCAUUUGUUCAAGUUUCACUAAUGCACCUGCAUUCGUGUAGACGGAUUAUUUUCCGAUAGGGUAGUGAGUUCCCUCGGAAUGGAUCCCUGUUAGAUUUUUGUUUAGAUGAUUGUCUGAUAGAUUCGAGCACGACAACUUAUCGAUGUUUAAGUUAGGGGAAUCUCAGUGACUUAUGUGAAAGAUACAAAUCCAUGAUUGAACACAAACAUUAAGUUUGCACGAAAAAAAUCAGCUAGUGAGUUUUUUACAGGCUUGUGAAAGAGAAUUUAAGAUAAAUUAUAGAGUACCAAGAUACAACAUAGAUAGAUGAUAUGCAUUACAAGCUGUCUUGACAUCUCCGUUCUUUCUGUGGAGUUUCGAUGUUUAUUUUUUAAGAUGAGGAAAGCACGCGUACACGUCGGACUUUGGAUGCUUCGCCUCAGCGUGCUCCCGGCAUUUCACUUCCGUUGUGGUACACAUGAAUGUUUGCAUACACACCUUGCACUGUUUUCAGGCACCAUCAUAAACCAGUUAUGUUAUCAGAGGAAACCCAAGCAAAGGACGACAAUGAUAUGAACAAGAAACCAAAACCCGAGUCAUGUAUCUGAUAAUGUAGUUCAAUGUGUCUAAAUUCAUUUUGACAGUAUCAACUAGUGAUGUAACAUGAUGAAUGUUCGAAGUUAAGAAAUGUUAUUUCUGGAAUUCUCAAGUGCAUUUAUUACCAAAUUCCACUCAAACAGAACACUAGAAAGGCAGUUUUUGCAAUCAAUGAUUACUUAUAAGAAUUUUAGGAAGGCUCAGACAAUCAUACAAAUUCUUCUCAUCAAUAUUUGUAACUUGAGAAAGUUCAUGCAAGAGAAGCUUAAAUUCAAGUAUUGUGUCUGCUCGUGGUUUUCUUCAAUGGAAGAUGUAGAGAAAAGGCCAAUUCCUCCCUAAAAUGUCUUCCAAGUGUCAUCUGUUGGGAGUCGAUAAAUCCCUCAACAGGUAGGUAUUGCCCUCGGUUGGAAUUUGUCUCCCAACUCUAACGAGAGAUCAAGUGCUUGAGGCAAUGGUUCAUAGAGCGGGAGUAACUUUUCUUCUAAGUGGCAUACACCACGCACGGUCCAUCUCAACGAGGUGCUCCAGCUGUGUGAACCUAUCACCUCAAGCAUUCAAGCUCUCGACUUUCCGAAGACAAACUCUUAUCACUUUGAAGACUUCGGUCUCCCUCGACAAAACAAAAUAAUGACCAAAAGUCUACUGACAAUGAACAAUUGACAAGCGAAAAACACUCUCAAAUCGUAAUUCGCGCGUAGGAACUACGCAAUAAGUUCCCAUGAAACCAUACAAAGCUUUAAUCCAAGAAUCUCUCUCAAGAAUUUCAACAAACACUCUCUUCAAAAUACAUCACAACAAAAAUAGUCAAACUACAAACACAGAAAACUAGCGAAGGAAAUCCCAACUUUUUCAAAGGAAGAUAAACAAAUAAAUCAUAAACCACUGGACAAAAACAACAGAUCAAGCAAAGUAUAGUUUUAAAAUCAAAGAAAGAAAUGAAAACCAGAGCAUCCAAAGAUACUACCUGGAUGGACAUGGCCUUCUUGUUAGACUCAAGCUGGCUUCCUAUCAAAAAACCAAAGCUUAAAGAUCAAUGAUGGAUCUAACUAAAAAGAUGGUCUAAAAAAAACAGACCCAAAGAUUAGCAAAGAGAUGGAGAAAGAAAGAAAAAGUGGAAAGGAAGGAUUUGGGGAGCACCUUUGCCAGCAGCUUUUUGCUUUUCCAAGUUCUUCUCACGGGCCAUCUUGGAUUUUUGGCCAUUUCCUCCUCCCAUGGUGGAUUGAUGAGGGAAAAAAAGAAGGGUUUUUUGAUCGAAUUGGAAGUGAAAACUUGGAAGAGGGAACUAUCAGAGAUGAUUAAGGCAAAAUAAGGGAAAUGGGGGGCAGAAUAGAGACAAGACUAUGAACCACAAAGAAAGUAGAUUCGAAUAAAGUAAUGCAAGUGGGGCCAAAAGGAUAAAGGCUGGAAAUCGCCGAUAAAGGAAAACGCCAACUAGUUGAAUUUAGGUACAUCAGUCAGAUCUGUUACUGUUCUAUAUAUCACCCGAUUGUGAGGUGGAAUUACAGGGUAUUAUGGGGGAGUUUGGGUUCCGAGCGAGUUUAUUUAAGGUAUUUAGAUUAAUUAUUUAAGUUCGAAUUUAGUCAAAAAAUAAUUUUUUUUAUCUAAAUUUAAUCUAAUUUAAAAAAAAAUUAGAUCUAAUUUGAUCCGUAUAUAUUUAAUUUUUUUAAGUUACUUUUGUUAUACAAUUAUAAUAAAAUAUAUAAUAAUUCAGCCUGAAGUCCGACCCGAUAAAUCUCUCUCUAUAUAUAUAUUUAAAGAUUCUCUUUGAGAGGAGGGUACUUCAUACACUCUUUUUCUUUUAUCUUCUUCUUCUCUAUUGCUUCACCAGAAUGUCUUUCCCUUCUUUUUCCACGUACUAAGAAUGAUAAAAUAAAAAUUUUUUAACACAUUAAAAAUUAUUUAUAUUAAAAAAACACUAUCUUAAAUAUAAUAAAUAUUUUUUAUAUUAAAAAACAUAAAUAAAAAUAUUAAAUAUUUUAUUGUAUUAAAUAUAAAUUUUAAAAUUUUAUAUUUUGGUUUAGGUUAUUUAGUUGAAUAAGUUUUUUUAAAAGUUUUGAGUAAUGAGUUUAAUUGUUAUUGGGUUAAUGAUUUAAUAUAAGUAUAAAUAUAUAUAAUUAUUAUUUAACAUAUAUAUAAUUAAUAUAAUAUUAUUUUAUAACAUAAUAUUCGGGCUGAAUCGAGCUCGGGCCAAGAAAAUCUUACUAAAAGCUCAAAUCAUAUAGAAAAUAGACCUUAAUUUUACCUAAGCUCAUUUUUUGGGUGGAUCUUGAGGCUUGGGCUAGCGGUCCAGCCCAUGAGUAGGUCUAGGUGGAAUAAUAAAUAAAUAUUUAAUGUUUGAAUUUAUUUUUUAGUAAAUAAGUACCGUUAAACAAUAUUUUUUAAAUUGAAUUGGUGGUCGAACCGGUUAGGCCAUCAAUUCACUGGUCCAAUCGAUUUAAUUAAAAAAUUAUUAAUUAAAAAUUUUUUUCUAUUCAACUGAUUUAAUCGUUGAUUAACGAUUCAACUGAUUUUUUACUUAAUUUAUACUGAUUCUUAUAUACAAAAAAAUAUAAAAAAUAGUUAUAAUAUUAUAAAAUUUAUAAUUUUAAUCAAGAUAUGUAAAUUUAAAAGAGGGGUAUUUUGAUAGUUUUUAGGGGUGGGCCGAUGCAGGCUUGAUCAAAACUGAGAUCAAUUUCAUCCUGACCCAAAACUCGAUUUUCUUUUCAAUUUCAUCCCCUCUCUAACCAAAUCGGGUUGAAAUCCAAUAGAUUUGGGUUAAUUUGCUAGUCAUCAAUUAUUGCUUGGACCCUGUCAACUCUAAGAUCAACUGGAUCUUCAUCAAUUGCCCUCAAACAUUUUACAUGAAUGUUUCCAAAAAAUAAUAGCAAUUGGAAUUGAAAAAUUAUUUUUGUGUCGUUUUAGUUCGAUUGGUAUCGGUAUUAUUGUCAGUGCAGGAGGAUGUGGGUUCAAGUGCGUUGAAAUGUAUUAUCCUCCUAUUUAAGGGUUGAGAAUGGGCUAUGGGUAGUUUUAGACUUAUUAUAUCAAAAAGAGCAAAUAUGAUUAAUGUUAAAAAAUAGACCCUAAAAACUUGACCAUUUUUUUCUCUUCUUUUUUACUUGAGAAUAUUACGGGUAAAUUUCAAUUCCAAUCCUUCUAUUUUUUAAUUACAAAAAAUGGUUAAAUUUUAAUCUGAUCCCUAUAUUUCACUCAAUUUUGAGAUUUAAUUUAUAUAUUUUAAAAUUGACAUGACUUGAUAUCUCAACUUUUAUAAUGUCAUUGGUUAGUCUAAAUAUUUUUUUCUCGUUAAAACAAUGGUGUGAAUUUUUAAGAAUUGUUAGCACCAUGAAAAAUCUUUGUUAAAUUCGGGUUUAUUACAAUGUUAUUUUUUUGUUAUGUGGAUACCAAUUUAUUUUAUUUUAUUUUUUUGAAAAUGCCACACCAACACAAUAAUUAAGACAAUGUUAACAAAUAGACCUAAAUUUUUAAAUUUGAAAAGUAAAGAGACUAAAUUUUUUAAAAUAAAAAUUUAGAGAUUAAAUUCUAAAUAUACGAAUAAUACAAAAAUUUCAAACAAAUUAUAAUUUUUAAAUUUUUACACUAUAAAUUAAUUAAUAAUUAAUUAAUAAACUCAACAAAAAUUGUGGGUGAAACCAUACUAGUAAGUAGUAACUAUACAUAAAAUGUAUUGGACUUGCUGCCACGUGUCACACCCAACUAUAUUCAUUUUCUAUUCUUUUUGCAUUUUUACCAAAAACUGUUAAAUUUCAGCUUUGGUCCCUUUAAUAGGCCUAAAUUUGAGAUUUAAUCUAUAUACGUUAAUUUCUAAAAUAAUAUGUCCCUUAUAGUUUUAUAAUGUUAUUAUUUAGUACAAAUAGUUAAUAUUGUUUACUUUUUUAUUAAAACAUUAUGUGGUUAUAUAUAAAUUGAAUACCCUAAGUCUUAGAGACUAACUUGUGGCUUCCCAAAAUAUUUGCGUUAUUUUUUCUUUUUUACAUUAUAAGACAAUGGUCAAAUUUUAAUUUUAACCCUAAACUGUAUUGAAACUUGAGAUUUAAUCUAUAUACUUUAUUUAUCUUUUACAUAAUUCGGUCCCUCUAAUUUUAUAAAGUCAUUAGUUUGUCUAAAUAGUUAAUAUUGGUCAACUAUUUCAAUCAAAAUGUUGGCGUCAAUCUAGAAAAAAAUAUUUCAUCAUGACGAUUUUGAAUGGGUAUUUUUAAGAAAAAUUGUAAUAAAUAUUUUCAAUGUUUUUUUUAAUAUAUGGCUACGAAGUGAAUAUAUAUUUUUUAAUUUCAAAAUGUCAUACUUGAGAAUUAAUAAAAGAAAUUUAACGAUGGUAUCAAUUGGACCUGGAAUUUUAAAUCCAAAAAGUAGAUUAGUAUAUUCUCAAAAAUAAAAGUAAGGGGACUAAAUUCCAAAUGUAUGAAGUGUAUAGGGACUUGGAGAAUAUUUUAACAUUUGAAUUUUUUACUUUAUAAUUUGACAUAAACAAAUAAUCAACCCAACACGAAGUGUGGGCUAGGAACCACGCUAGUUUAUAUUGAAUUUUAAGUUCAAGAUAAGUACAACAAAAUUACCUCUAACAUGGUCAAAGACGAAACCAAAAUAAUGUUGAUAAUUAAGAAAUAAAGAAAUAUAUAAUUGUUGAAGGGGUAUCGACUUCUUCCAGAGAUGUCUUCAAUAUGCCGUCCUCUAAGCAACCGACUGAAGCCCCCAACAACCAAAGGUAUUGUCCUUGGGAGAGAGUAUUGUCCCCAGCCUCCGCGAAGAGCCAAUGUGCCGUGAGUGGCUACCCUGAAAGUCUACUUCAUACAUGGGUGCCUCGAUUAUACGUAGACAUAUGACCACUCAUUGAGAGGCAAUGAAAGCAUCUCGCCCUUGGUGGAGUUUAAACCCCUCACCAAUAACAUAUAAGUCACUUAUUGGGGUAUAUCUGACCCAUAUAGAUCACAAUGACAAUCUUUUUUAAUUCAUUUUCUUCUUCUUCUUCUUUAUCAAGCACCGUCAAUUUUAUUUUCUAUCCACAUUUUCGCUGUCAAUUUUUUUAUUCUAUUUUUUCAUUUAACUAAACGUACCUUAAAUGUCAGUUUGAAUAUGACGCGGAGCACGUGUAAAAUACAUGAAUCAAAUUGUAAUUAAAGACAUGUUUAUAAUGUAUUUGUCACAUAAAUAACUUGAAUUUGACAUGUUAAAAGAAACAUAUAGCAUCAUUAAUAGGGGUGAAUUUAGAAAUUUUCUAAACAUUGGAAUUGAAUUAUAAAAUUUUUGAGAGUUCAAAGUGUAAUUUUAUAAUGUAUUAACUUAUAAUUUCAUCAUUUUAAAAAAAUACAUUUUUUUAGAGAUGUAAAGCAUAAUUUUAUCAUUACAAAAUUUUAAUUUAAUCAUUUAUAAUAAAACUAUAAAGAAACUUCUUAGGGGUGGGUUUCAAAGCCCACAUAUCCCCCACAUUGUAUUAUCCUCUUAACGUCCAAUGAAUGUCCGAAAUUAACCUAUAUUAUUUUUUUGGUAAAAAAGUAGCAGAAAUCAGCUACAUCAACAUAGUUCUAAUGAGAAUUUCCCAUGGUUUCGAUUUGCUGAAGAUCAGCUAACAACAAUCCUCUAAUAUUCAUUGGAGGCUAUUUAAAAGUGCAAAUCAUAUUUAAAUCUUCAGCAUCCAUCUUCGCCAAGUAAUCCACAACCUUAUUUUGUUCCAUUGGAAUAUGUCGAAAUUAAUAGCUAAAUUGAUGGAAGGAGCUAAUUAUAUGAAACCAUAUUUUGAAGACUUAAUCAAAAUUCUUUGAAGAUUAGGACCAAAUUAAAAUCUAAAUUAUAAAUUGAGAACCACUGCUGCAAUUAAUCUAAAGAGUAUCAUAUAAAGCCAAAUUUGGCGUUAAAACUUUAAAUUUUCUAUUUAUUUAUCAGUUUCCCACCGUACAAGUUUUUUCCCGCGUUUCUUCGAAGGUUUCUAAUAACUUCUAUUGGUUUCCAUUUCUUAAUCCAAAAUAUAAUUUACAAAGUAUGAAGUUAAUUAUUUUUGUAAAAAAUGGAAGCUUAGUUUGCAAAUCAGAUCAAAACAUUCGGGAUUUUAGCCAUUUUUUCAGGUGAAUUACGAGCGCAUCGGAGUUAUUCUACACUCGAAGGUCGAGUGGGCCGACGACCCGACCCGCAUUCAGGAUUUGGGUCCUUAAUUGAUCGGAAUUACAAUCGCGCCGGAAAUCAUUUCAGUCACCAUAAUCGGAGGCUUGAUUUGGACGGCCGUGAUCCUCUCCGCCGUAUUCUCUACGCUCACGUGGCUUCUCCCUUUCCCUACGCUCAUUGCACAUAAUGUUUUUUUUUCGUUUGGUUGCUUAGAAAAGAAAAACGGAAAAAGGAAAAAAAUAAGUAUACGAAUUAAUAGAUGUUCUUGGAAGUGAAAAUAGAUUGAAUUUUCAUUUUGUUGAAAUAAAUUUUGAUUAAUUAAUUUAUUUUGCUUUGAAAAUCAGUAGCUUAAAGAUAAAUCUAUUAGUUGAAUUACUGAAAGUAGUUAUGAAAUGUAAAAUUUUCUCGAUAAUUUAUCUGAGUUCUGAGCCCUAAGCUAAAUUGCUGUAAAUUUCAUCCAAUAACAUAUAAUAUGUAUACAGAUAGAUAAGAUUGCUUGAUAUUGCAUUACCUUGUGAUUUGCUUUUACUUUGGGGAAAUUACUUAACAGUUAAGUGCAUUGAGCUAGUGUUGCUAGUACCUCUUCUUCAGUAAUGAAUAUUUUGAGUGUCUUUCAGAGAAAUGCUAUAAUGAAUUUGGCUUUGUCAUGCAGCAACCAGUUUGUGUAAGUAGUUCAAGUAGGCCACGUUUAAGUUCGAACUAGCGACUUCCCGGAGUUUUGCUGCGAGUAAGAGGCGCGUCCAUUUCUUCAAACAGGUUGGUGCUUAGAGCUCUCUGCAAGUUUCAAAUUCAUAGCACUUGCAUUGGUUGUAUUUACUGUGAUUAUUUACCUUGUCAAGUAGAGCUAGUAAUUCUGCAAGUUCAUAGCAUUUGCAUUAAUGCACUUAUGGCACUUUUAGUGCUUUUGCUGCACUAGUUGGACUAAAAAUAUAUCCACCAUUCUUGCUUUGACACCAAUUUCCAUUCAACCCGUUUAAAUUCUCGAAGGACAGCAUAUCUAUAACUUUCUCAACUCUACUAGAAUCCAAAUCAUGAUUUUGCUUUUUUGUUCUACUUUUAUUUCGUGGAUAUGUUGAGUGGUGCAAAAUGAUCAAAAGGGGGGCAACUAUUAAACUAUCAACUUGUGUCAUAAUCUGUAUAGGACGAUUCAGUGUCAUAUAUGGUUGAUUGUGAUCCAUUAUUGUUGCUGCAUCCAUAAAAUGAAAUUGUGGGUCUGACUGGGUUUAGCAAUAAGGAAAAGAGGUACCAUGUGAUCUUUUAGGAAGAUAGAUGGCUUGGGUUAUCACCGGUUUAUGCAUAGAUCAAUUUCAUAGGAGUAACCUAAAAUGCACUCUGAUGCAGCAAUUUGUCGGUUGCAUUGUCACUAGUGUAUUCAAUUUUCAAUAAUUGUUUUGGCGCUUGAUACCCUAGCUAUUUUUUUAUAGAAUUGCCUGCUAUAAUCAUCAUGUUUCAACAGACUUUUUUUUGUCCCUCUUUAGACAUUAGAUAUUCUGGUAAAAUUUUGCUAUUAGUCCAUAUACUAUGCACAAGUUGCAAAUUUUUGUACUUAUACUCUAAUUUGGUUAUUUUUAGUCUUUGUACUUUUCAAAUUUUGAAAAUUUAGUCCUGAACAAUGGCUGACAAAUUCAUUAAGUUAAAAUUUGUUAUUUCCAACAUCUUAUGCCACAAACAUAUUAUCACAUUUGUAAUUCUAUGUUAACUUGCUAUUUUCACAUAAUACUUCAAGAAAAUCGUUUCAUAUUAGUUAAUAAAUUUAAUAGCUCUUGUUUGAGUCAAGAUCGAAAUUUUAAAAUUUGAAAAAUAUAAAGAUUAAAAAUGAUCAAUUUGAAGGACGUGGAUUAAAUCCACAAUUUAACGCCAUAGUAUGGAACUAAUAGCAGAAAUUUUAGAGUACAUAGACUAAAACCUGCAACUUACAUAUAGAACAUGGACCAAUAGCAGAAUUUGACCACUUAUUUAUAUUCUUGAACAGAUUAAAUUCACUCUUUUUAUGCUCAAAAAAAAUCUGUCAUUACUUUGAGCCUACUUCUGUUAAUGCAUUAAAUCAGAUAUUUCUUUUGCUACUCCCCAGCUAUUAGUAGUACCAUAAUUUCCAGGCCCACUGCUGCUUGACUUGCAUCACUAACAACCAAAACGGUCCAGUCCCACUGCCGGUGUGCUUCCCAUGUAGUAUAUUAUUGUUAUUUACAUCACUUUCCACUACCACUAUUACCCAGCUAACUUCCUAGUAAAUUAGCAUUUCUAACCAUGUGGACCACUAGAACUUGUGGCACUCAGUAAUGAAGAUAUUUAUGUUUCUGUCUUUCAUUACGCAGUGGACUACUUCAAGGUCCGAACUGCGGUUUAAACAUUUUAUACUUUUUUUCCCUUUUUCGUUUUCUAAUUUACUUAUUUUGUCCUUGUUUUAAUUUUUUGAAUUUUCUUUUGACUGAAUCAGAAAUCAGUAUUUUGAUUGAUUUGAACGUCGAUUUAAUUUUUGUGACACAGCUAUCAUGUAGGCAGAGGUUUCGUUCACUAGACUUGCUUAGAUCUUGGGUUAGAGCUUGUGGGAACUGACCUUACUAUAGAAAAAGCAUAUACUAUCUCUAUUAUGUACCCAGUUGCAAGGUAUUUGAAUUAAAUCCCACUUAAAAAGUAUGAGAUUUUUAGUGAAAUUUAUAUGAACCAUGUUUGUCUCAACUUCAACAACUAGCUUUUGAGGUAUAAUUCUCCAUUGAUCUAUUUUUGUUAGUGCUUCAGUUUCCUUAACAUUGAUAGCGUGUGAACUUUAAAAUGUAAAGUAUCUAUCGGUUUCAAUGUCCCUUUCCUUGCUUGACCAACCUGCCCUACUUGUUUUCCAAAAUGGACUGAAACCAAAUUGUUUUAUGUUGUUGUCAGCUACAGUAUUGGUACUCACCAUGCUCAGAGUCUCAACCUCUAUGUUAAAACCUUUUUCCUUGAAAUUUCCUAGGCAAUUUUGGACACAUAACAUACAUAAAAAACAAUACAAAUAUAUAAUAUUAAUAUAAAAGUAUGUCAAUAGUAAGUUUAAGGUUAAAAUAUAUCAUAAGUCCUCAUGUUUUUCAAAAAUCUAAAAUUUAAUCUUUGUAUUUUGUUAAAUUUAGAUUUAUUAUAAUGUCUUUUUUUUAGUUACAUAGCUAUCAAAUGGAUAUUUUUUUAUUUUAAAAUAUUAUACUAAUAAAUUUAAUAAAAAAAUUUAACUAUAUUAAUAAUUAAAUCUGAAUCUUAAAAUAAAAAAAGUGAUACAAUUACUGAAAUAGGGAUUAAAUUCUAAAUUAGGUAGAAAGAAUUUACCUAAUCUGAUAUGACAUUUAUCAUGAUUUGAAAGUUUUGUAUUAAAAUGCCAAUUUCCCCACACGAGAAAUGUCACAUGUAUCACAACUUGUUAGGAUCAUUAUUUAUAAUAAACAUAAAAGCAGAUGUAAAUCAUAUCCCUCAUUUGACUCUCUAGAGGCAAAAAGAGGGAAGCAUAUUAUACUCCACUUAAUACAUUGAACAUAUACUCUUCCUUUUUCAAUUGUAUAAAAUAUUCAUUUAAGAUAAUCUUUAUCAUGAAGAAAGCUAAAAAGAAACUUAAAGGAAAAAAUGAAAAAAAGGGGAAAAUGAAAGUUUAAGUUUUACAGAAGAUCCUUAUACUAUGAAUUUUUUGUAUAUCUAGUCCUAUAUAAUUUAAUAUUUCUACUCCUAUUUUACCAAACAGGUAUUUUUAGUUUGGAUGUCAACUUUUUCUUCUAAUUUUGCUAAAUAUUAUAAUAGGAUAUAGCACUUGACUGUACAUCUACAUUUUGUACAAUUAGAUAUUAUUUUUGUAUAUUUAGAAAAAGAAUAAAAUUAUAAUAAAGUGUAUAAAAAAAUGCAAAAGUGAUAAUGUAUUUAAAUAUUAAGGUAAAAUUAAUCUCAAGUUAGACCCAUGACAACCCACUACCUCUACCCCUAUAAGCAUUACAAAAAAGUGAUUGAGGGUUAAAAAUUAUCAAAGUAUAGAAAAAGGACUAAAUCCGAAAAAAUGAAAAAUGCAGAGUCCUUUAUGAAAUUUUACCAAAAUGAAAACGGAAACUUAAACGCGGAGAGUACAGCAGUAUUCGGGUCUUUGGUCAUCUUCCUCUUCACGCGGCAUCUUCCUCUUUAAUCGCCAUUUUCGCUUUCUCUCUCAUUAUAUAUCUUUAAAAACCAUUCUUCAACCUAACAAAAAAAACCACAGCAACAAAAAAGAAAACCAUACAAACAAAUCCUAAAAGACUCUCUUUACAACGUAAAGAGCAAAAACCCCAACAGCAAAACGUGUAGUAAUAAGGCAAAAACACGGUAGGGAAGGAAGGUUGUUAAUAUAUACAUAUAAAAGUUAUAACGGAAGAAAGGUCGAACGAUUCAAAAAAACCCAACGAUGGCUAUGAUGUUACGGUCGCUCGCUAGGCCGCUUGAACGUUGCCUUGGGUUAAGGGCCGGUGGGGAUGGUCUCAUGUGGCACACUGAUCUUAAACCUCAUGCUUCGGGCGAGUACUCAAUCGCCGUCGUUCAAGCCAAUAAAAACCUUGAAGAUCAAGGCCAAGUCUUUACAUCUCCUUUAGGUACCUAUGUUGGUGUUUAUGAUGGUCAUGGCGGACCCGAAGCUUCCAGAUUUGUAAACAAGCAUCUUUUCCCAUUUCUCCACAGUAAUUGUUCUUUGACCCUUUUAAUCUUUUUCUUAAUUAUUUUUCUGGGUUUUUUUUUAGAUUAUCUGAAAUGGGGUUUUCUUUGCGUCUAAUUUUUCAAGAUUCAAAUAUUCUUUUGUGUUUUAAUGGUCAAAGAGAAUUUUGGGUUUUUGUCAGUUAAUGAUAUUUUGAACAACUUACAAAGUGUCUAUCAUGCACGUUUAUUUAGUUAUUAUUUGUGUAUCUGAAUGAAUAUGAAUUACUUUGUCUAAAUAUAAAUCUUUAUGCGUUUGAAAUUGGAAUUUGGUUCUCAAGAUUCUAAAACCAUUCAGUUUAAUUUCAAUUUUUGGCACCUUUCACCUCCUUGCUUUAUUGGGUUUUGUCAGUGAAUGGUUGUGUUCUUGUUUUAAUUUUUCUGUCUUAAUUGUAGAAUUUGCUACAGAGCAAGGGGGAUUAUCUGCAGACGUGAUAAAGAAGGCGUUCAAUGCUACUGAAGAAGAGUUUUUACAUUUGGUGAAGCAAUCAUUGCCCGUAAGGCCUCAAAUUGCUUCAGUUGGAUCAUGUUGCCUUGUUGGUGCGAUAUCCAACGAUGUGUUGUAUGUGGCGAAUCUCGGCGACUCGAGAGCAGUUCUUGGCAAAAGAGUUUCGGAGGAUAAGAAAAACAAGGUUGUGGCAGAGAGGCUAUCAACAGAUCACAAUGUUGGAGUUGAGGAAGUGAGGAAAGAGGUUGAGGCUCUUCAUCCUGAUGAUUCGCAUGUCGUGGUUUACACUCGCGGAGUUUGGAGGAUUAAGGGCAUAAUCCAGGUACUUAACAAAAUCUAUUGGCAAACCCAAUUAUAAGAGUUUUAAGUUGAAUCAGACAGGUUGAAGAACAGUUCAUGUUUUGGUUCAAUGAAUUCGAUGGAUAUACAUGUUUCUUUCCAUCAAUUGCUUGUAUGUUUGUAGAAAAGGUAUAUUUACAAAACAAAUAAACAUUGUGCAUCCUCUGAAUCAUAAUGCUAAGCUUAUGUGACUAUAUGGAGUCUUCUCUCUUUUCUUUUUCGGGUUUUUUGGGUUCCUUUUGUUGAUUUCUUUCCCCUUUAACUUCAGCAGUUAAAUGGUUCUCUGUAAUGGAUAAUGUUGGUCUAAGCAUUGAACUUGUUUCUUUAUUCAGGUGUCAAGAUCUAUCGGUGAUGUUUACUUGAAGAAACCCGAUUUUUAUAGAGAUCCAAUCUUUCAACGAUUCGGAAACCCUGUUCCCCUUAAAAGACCAGUUAUCACGGCAGAACCCUCCAUCCUUAUUAGAAAGCUUAAGCCCCAAGACUUAUUUCUGAUAUUUGCAUCAGAUGGCCUAUGGGAACAGUUGAGCGAUGAAACCGCGGUAGACAUUGUUUUCAGAAACCCCCGAGCUGUGAGUAUUUACCUUUGUCUUAUUGGUUAAUUUAGUCUUCAUUAGCAGCUGGACCGAAUGACAGAGUAUUGAUUUUAAGUUUGCUUGUAUUACUUGCAGGGUAUUGCUAAGAGACUGGUAAGUGCCGCACUUAGAGAAGUUGCAAAGAAAAGAGAGAUGAGAUACGGCGAUAUUAAGAAAAUCGAGAAGGGAAUAAGACGGCAUUUCCAUGACGAUAUAACCGUGAUCGUCAUUUACCUAGAUCAACACCGAGGCUCUUCACAUAACAUAGUUAAACAUAAUGCCAUGGGGUGCACGACGGCGCCAGUCGACAUCUAUUCAUACAAUGCAGAUGAAGGAUAUGAAGGAGAUUUACUUCAAACAGUUUCUUGAAUACACAACAGAAUGAGUUAAUAUUAGGUUUAGCACACUGACUUUUUAUUCUUUUUCAAGUCUUAUUCAUGUAUAGAGAAACCAAAUGAUGGGGUGGGAUUGGUUCUUAAACCAAUGUUUCAUUGGGAGAAAAAUCGAGAGUUUGGAAGGUAAUUUUAGUCACCUCAGACGGAUUCCGACACAGGCGGCUAUAGGUGUUCCGGUUGAAGUUCUAACGGUUACCGAAAAGGCUACAUUGUUUUAUUGGUUUAUUAAAUUCAUUGCUUAUAUUAUAUUUAAUUCGAAGUGAGUAACUAAAGACAAUUAAUUACGUUAUUAAUUUUUCUUGUCAAUUAUACAUAAUUUUGAUUGGUGUAAUAACAAAUUUAACCCUUAAUAUUUAUAUAUUUUGUGCAAAUGUUGACAGAAUAUGUAAAUGUUGUAGGUUAAUUUCGUUAAAUCGUGAUUAAAUUGACAGAACAUGUAAGUGUUAUGGGUUAAAUUUGUUAAAUCAAUGUUAAAUUGACAAGAAGUAUAAACUUUAAGGGCGAAUUUUGUUACUAUACCGAUAGAAAAAGUAUAAUUGAUGAAAAAAUAUUGAUGUUAUGAUUAAUGGUCAUUAGUUGCUCACUUUUAAAAUCGACAAGAUUAAAUUGUUAUAGUUUUUUUGAGAGGGACCAAUUUGUUCAAAAUGAAAAUUGAGAAGAAUCAAAAUGUCAUUGUACCUGGUUCUUAUACAUACCAUAUCUAAGUUGUGAAUUUAGUUUUUGUACAUUAAUUUACUCAAUUUCAGUCUCUUUACUUUUUAAAUUUAAAAUUUUAGUUAUGAUUUAGAUUGUAAAUUAAAUUCGUUUCAUUCUAUUAUGUUAUUAGUCUUAUACUAUUAUUACAGUUGUGAAUUUAAUUCAUGUUUUUUAAUUUUAUCAUUUUUAGUCGUUAUACUUUUCAAAUUUUAAUGCAAACGAAAAUAGUUAAAUCCAUUAAACGUAGGUUUUCUAUGUGUGCAAUAUAUGAAAAUAGCAAAUUGCAACUAUUAUUUGAUCGAGACUAAAAUUGAAUAAUACAAAAAAUACAAAAAUUAAAAUUAAAUAAAUUAAAAGAUAGAUAUUAAACUCACAAUUUAUUCAUAUACAUAAACUAAUAACAUAAUUCUUAAUACUCUUAAAUUAAAAACAACACUUAAUAAACUACGAGAGUUAGGUGAGAUGACAAAUAUCUCUCCUAUAUUAACCAGUGGUUGAAAGUUUGAUCCUCGCAUUGGGUAUAGAAUAACUUUAAAAACUCGUAGUCGGCAUCUAUUAUUUUAAUAGACCUAAAAAUGCGGAGAAUUAAUUACUGAACUCGCUCUAAGCAUGACAUAACACGACAAAGUUGGCUUGUAAUUUGUAUAUCUAAACCAAAAGGGAAAAAAUGUUUUGCGAGACAAAUUCCUUAAACUGAAAGACAUGGGAAUUUUGGCAACUAGAUAGCAAUAACCAAACUUGUUAGGUGAAACGAACCAAACUAAAGCACAAAACGACAAUCAGUUGCGCUAAAGUUAGGAUGUCUUGUCACUUUUAAAUUUUUAUUAUACAACUUGCUUCACUAAACAAAUACUAUUUAAUGAACUUUUUAAUAUUCUUACUCUACUUUUCAAUAAUUCAUAAAGCUAAUAAAUAUAUUAUAUUCUUUCAAAUUACUUUUCUUUAAAUUAUUUUUUCUUUAUUUUAAUUGAAAAUUUUUAUUGUAUUAAUUGCAUAAAAAUACUCAAAAUUUUAAUUUAUUCUUUAAUUUCGAAAUAUGUUUAAACGUUAAAACGUUAAUUUUGAUAUGAUGUAAAGUACAUUUAAAAUGCCCGAAUUAAAUUGUAAAUUUAUGUAUACUUACAUCAUUAAUAACUUGGAUCUUACGUAUUAAAAAAAUAGUGUUAAUAAAUUUUAGGAGGGUUAACACUUUUAACUGUUAGAACGAUUUUUUUAAGUAGAAAUCAUGUUGGUACUCUAACUAGAAUGGUUAUACUUUAGUUACUUGGGUUAACUGUUAAUAUUAUAAAAAGUAGAAGAUUAAAUUACAUUAAAUAAAAUUAUGGAGAUUAAAUUUUAAAUUUGAGCACAAUAAAGGGACCAAAACUAUAAUUUAACUCUUUUUAAAUUCAAUAUUUUGUUGAAGGAUUAAAUUGGGGUUGAACUUGAAACCUACUUCUAUAUUGGGGCUUGAACUUUUUUUUUGUCUAAGUUGCUCCCUAAACUUAGCAAUUUUUCUCAUAUUGAAGUUUGAACUAGGCCAUUGUUCUAAGGGGCGAAGCCAAAAUUUUUUUUUUUGGGAGUUGGAAUUAAAUUGUAUAUUUUUAUGGUAGUAAGAAUGUAAUUUUACCAUUUUAAUAGCCUAUGUCAUUAUAAUUUUAAAGGAUUAAAUCAAUUUUGUAUUAUUUAAGAGGUUAAAGUUCAAAUUUAUCAUUACUAAUUUAAAAUUUUAUAAAUUAUAAAAAGUUUAAAUAGAAAAUUUUUCAUUUUAGGGGGAACUGGGGGCCUUGCCAACCUCUCUGGCUUUGCCAUUGAUUGUUUCCAUAUUGGAGCUAAACUUGACAAUUGUUCCUACAUUGAUGCCUAAGUUUUAGGGUUUUCAAAGAAACAUCAUGGAUUAAUUUGGAUCAAAAAAGGUUCAAGCCCCAAUAUAAAAACAAUUACCACAAAAAAAUUCAGGUCUCAAUAUGAAAAUAAUUACCAAUUUCAGGCCCAAAAAGGUGAUUUAACCCUUUGCCCAACCCCAUUCAAGUUACCAAACGAGAGGAAAAUAACAAAUUCCUAGAAAAUCUACAAUUUUGUGCGCUAAAAAAGAAAAUACAAAUAGUCGUUUCAGUAUAAUUUUCUCGGAAAAUAACCAAAACCCAGUCCUUUAAGCUUCAACAUCCAAAGAAAAAAGAAUGACUGCAAGUCAUUUGGUUGCUGAAUCCGUGUGGAAAACAAUAGAGUCAACUCAUUCAGGUCUUUCUUUUUUUCCCCCCUUAUUUAUUCUUUCUAUGUAGAAACUAAAUUCCAUCUUCUUCUUUUUUCCUUUUUUAAAUCCCUAAAUUUUGUGAUCUUAUGACCCAAAUUGGCCAGUAAAUGAAGAGCAACUAUCAAUGUAAGCAAUACUCAUUUUCUUUUAAAUCUUUUAUUCUUGGGCUUUUUAAAAUAAAAAUAAAAAUAAAAAUGGUGGGUAUUGAUUAAUUUUGAAUUUUCUUUUAUUGUAGCUUGCAUUUUCUGUUUGGUAAAAACUUCGAGAGAGCAACAAGGAUAGUUGACCAAAGGGGUGUCAAGAAAAUCUCCGGUGAACCCAGCGGUCGUUUUAUCUUUCAGGUUCAUUCUCUUUGUUGCUAUCUCAAUUUUUGAAUAUUGGUCGAAUUCUCCUAUUAGUCCAUGCACUCUGCAUAAAUUGCAGAUUUAAUCCAUGUUCCUCGAUUUAAUGUUUUUAAUGAUUUGUUUUUCAAAUUGUAAUUUUAGUAUCAUGUUAUAUCUAUUUAAUUUAAUUAUUUUAUUUCAGUUAAUAAAUUUCACUGCUAUUGGAUAUAAGAAUAAAAAUGAUAAAAUUUUAGAACAAAUAUUAAAUCUAUAAGGUUAGGACAGAAAAAUCCAAAUAUUAUAAAAUUAAAAUUGACCAAAUUAAAAUAUGUAGACUAAAUCUGUAAUUUAGACUUAGUAUAUAUACUAAGGGAAGAAUUUGUCAUAGAAUAUUUGGACGAGUUGUCGGCUACCUUAUGUGUAAAAUAUGGUCAUUUUGGCAAAUAUUCCAUUUUAAGAACUUUCCUGGAAACUUUUCUGAAACUGUGAGCCUUGAGAUAAAACCCGAAGCAGAAUUGAGACACAUCAGUAUAUAUCCAUUUGUAUAUCUCAAUAUAUAUAUAUAACAUACGCCUGUCUAGUUAGAAUAUUUGGACAAGUUGUCGGCCACCUUAUCUGUAAAAUGUGAUCAUUUUGGCAAAUAUUCCAUAUUUAAGAACUUUCCUGGAAAAUUUCUGAAACUAUGACCCAUCAAGGCUCUUGGCAGAAUCGUGAGAUAAAACCUGAAGCAGAAUUGAGACACAUCAAUAUAUAUAUCCAUUUGUAUAUCUCAAUAUAUAUAUACAGACGCAUGUGUAGUUAGAAUAUUUGGACAAGUUGUCCUCUACCUUUUCUGUAAAAUGUGAUCAUUUUAGCAAAUAUUCCAUCUUAAGAACUUUCCUGGAAAUUUUUCUUAACUAUGACCCAUCAAGGCUCUUAGCAGAAUGGUGAGAUAAAACCCGAAGCAGAAUUGCGACACUUCAAUAUGUAUCCAAUUGUAUAUCUCAAUAUAUAUAUAUACAUAGGCAUGUCUAGUUAGACUAUUUGGACAAGUUGUCAUCUACCUUAUCUGUAAAAUGUGAUUAUUUUAGCAAAUAUUCCAUCUUAAGAACUUUCCUGGAAAAUUUUCUGAAACUAUGACCCAUCAAGACUCUUAGCAGAGUCGUGAGAUAGAACCCGAAGCAGAGUUGAGACACAUCAAUAUAUAUAUCCAUUUGUUAUAUAUAUACAUACGCAUGUCUAGUUAGAAUAUUUGGUCAAGUUGUCAUCUACCUUAUCUGUAAAAUGUGAUCAUUUUAGCAAAUAUUCCAUCUUAAGAACUUUGCUGGAAAAUUUUCUGAAACUAUGACCCAUCAAGGCUCUUAGCAGAGUCGUGAGAUAAAACCCAAAGCAGAAUUGAGCCACAUCAAUAUAUAUAUAUCCAUUUGUAUAUCUCAAUAUAUAUAUACAUACGCGUGUCUAGUUAGAAUUUUGGACAAGUUGUCAUCAACCUUAUCUGUAAAAUGUGAUCAUUUUAGCAAAUAUUCCAUCUUAAGAACUUUCCUGGAAAUUUUUCUGAAACUUUUUUUUCCCAUUGUUUGGUGCUUUAGGUUGUGGGAGAAUCUAGAAGAAAAGAAGAAUAUUUCUGUUUUGCUGAACAUUAUUGUGCUUGUUAUUCAUUCUUUUAUGAUGUAAUUAACAGAGCAGAACAGCUUUGUGUAAGAUUUCUUUAUUCCUUUAUUCCCCUUAUUUUAUUGCAUUUAAUAUAUAGGUAAAAUUUUUGAAAUUGAGCAAAUUGGUCCCUCUAAAAAAUUAUAGCAAUUUAUCUUUGUCAAUUCCAAAAGUGAGCAACUAAAAAUAAUUAAUCAAGACGUUGAUAUCAUUUGUCAAUUGUACAUAGUUUUGAUUGGUAUAAUAACAAAUUUAGCCUUGUUAUUUACAUGUUUAUACAAAUAUUGAGUUGCAUUUAUUAAAUCAGGACAAAAUUGAAAGAAUAUGUAACUUUGAGAGCUAAAUUAUUUAUUAUACCAAUCAAAUUUAUGUACAAUUGAUGAUCAAAAUAUUAAUGUUGUGAUUAAUUAUUCUUAGUUGCUCACUUUUGAAUUAAAACGGAUUAAAUUACUUCAAAUUUUUUAGAGGAUUCAAUAUGCUCAAUUUACUUAAAUUUUUUUAGAGGAUUCAAUAUGUUCAAUUUUAAAAUUAAAAGGGAUUAAAUUACUUUAAUUUUUUUAGAAGAUUCAAUAUGCUCAAUUUCAAAAUUGAGAGGGACUCACCUAUAUAUAUUUGCUGUAUUUUCAUAUUUUGUUUUGCUUUUGUGUAGUGUAAGCAUCAAUUAGCUGCAAGGCUUGCUGGAUCAUUGGGAGCUUGUAUUGAAGUUAAAGUGUCUGAUGAACAGCUAGCUGUAUUACUUUCUGAGCUCUAAAUUUUUGUAGUAAAAUCGUAGCGGGUCGGAUCCGAAAUUUAAUCUAGUUGGUUCAUGCAGUUACAUUUAAAGAAAUGACAUUCAAUAAAUAUGAUUCAAUUUUUGAUAAAUAAAAAUAUUGUUUGUAUGUUUAACAACAAAAAGAAUGAACAAAUUAUAAUCAUCAAAUCAAGGAACAAUAUUGUGAGUUUUCAUCUUUUUAAUCCAUGAAUUGAACGACGUUUUCGAGUUUCGGAACCCGACAAAUCCAUGUUCUUUGCUCUUGUUCAUGCUAUCCAACAGUGACUUCCCCGAAAGCACCGAAUCAACGAACUGCCAUGCUCCGGCAUUGCUCAAUUUCAUCGGCAAAAGACCGUUCUCCCUCACGAUGUUGUCCCACACCGGACCUUUGUCUUUCAUCAUUUCAACCAAGCUUGGCACCUUCUCUUCGGUUUCUUGAAAUCCGUAGUGUUCGAUACCGAACUGGUCAGCUAACACUUUCCAUAAGUCCUUCCACUUAAACACAUCUCCAUUGCUACAAUUAAAGGCUUCGUUUUUCGCUCGCCGGCUCAUUGCUGCCCAUAUUUGAUGUUCUGCAAUCAAAUCCGCAUCCGAUGCAUCCCAGUACCCUUCCCACGCUUGUCGGUUCCCCGGAAACCUCAACGGCUCGCUUUCAUGCUUACAUAUCGACGCGUAAAUGCAUAAACUCCGAACUAUAUUCAUCGAACUAAACGGAGAAAACCCAAAAACCAAUCCCGGCCUAUGAACAGACCAUGUCAAGUUCUCCUUCUGCUUCACUUCUUCCAACAAAACAUCCUCGAGCGUAUAACACAAGUUUGACGACUUAAGCCUCGGAAGAUCCUCGCGAAAAGGAGGAUCAUGGGGCUGAACAUGAUAUUUUCCGUACAAAUCAAUCGGACCGGUGUAAUGCCGACGACCGGUUUGCAAGCAUAUAUGUUUCAACUUGGGUGAAUUCGGGAUUACCGCUUUCAACACGUUCCGUAACAUAGUACCAUUGAUAACGCAGUUUUCAUCUUCAGUUGAUCUCUUAUCCCAUGCAACAUAAAACACAUGAGUCACAUCGUUAAGCUUUGAUAAUUUAUCACAUGUUUCUUCUUCAUCUAAAACAUCGCAUUGUAUGUACUCAAUAGGCAAAUGACUAGUCGAGGCUGGUCGAGGCUGACGAGCAACACCGUAGACCUUCCACGGUCCGCCGGGAAUACCGGAGAACGGAAGAAUCUCGGCGAGACUGUUACCGACUAUGCCGGUGAUGCCAAUGACCAAAGCAACACUCUUGUACUUGGAUUGUUUAUCAUGUUCUUCCAUUUUCUUCUGUAAAAAAAAAAAAAAUCUGGGUUCAUUAGAUUAAAUGCAGAGAAAGAGAACCCAAAAAAAUGAAUGAGCAUUAACGUACCUUGGCAGCACCAAUGGCUCCUGCCCACCACCAACUCAUUGUAUGUUUUUCUUUUGCUGUUAAUGAAAAAAAAUGCUGAAUUACAUCCUUAAACUUUGUCUGCAAUGUUUUUAUAGUGAUCCGCUUUGAUAAAAGUGACGUCUGGGAAUUUAAAAAAGGAAAAAAAAACCAAUCUUAUCUAUUUACAUGUAUCAACUACAGCUCAACAAGAACUUGUUAUCAAUUUGAUUUCUUUAUAAUAAUAAUAAUAAUAAUAAUUUUAGUUGGGAUAAAUUACAAGAAUAGUCACUCUUGUUUGUCUUAGAUUAUAUUUUAGUCAAUUAUGUUAUCGUUUUGUUACGAAGUGGUCACUCUACCGCUAAACUCCGUUACCUCCCUAGCGGUAGUUCUACGUGACAGUUAAAAUUAAAUUUAUUUAAUUAAAAACAUAUUUUCAUCCCAGUAGCUGGACAUCCAAGUUGGCAUUUAAAACAUGUUUGGAUUGCUACGUAGGACAAUCGUUAGGGAGGUAACGGAGCUUAACGGUAGAGCGACCAUUUCAUAACAAAAUGAUAACAUAUGUGACUAAAAUAUAACAUUUUAAACAUAAAUGAUUAAAAUGUAAUAUGAUUCAAACAAAAGUAACUAUUUUUAUAGUUUACCAUUUUAUUUUUAAUUUGUUUGAAUAAACAUGGAUACAACACAUAUAUUUUAUAUAAAAUAAUUUAAGUGGCGGAAUUUUUUAAAAGAAAAUCAGAAAGGACGUGGAAAAUGGGUUAAUUGGUGAAUAUGUGUAAAUCCUUCAAUAAUUGAAUUGGUCAGCCAACACUUAAAGACUAAGGAUUAGACAGCUAGUAAACACAUCAGCAUAUAAUCAAGCUUGCGUGGAGAACCUAGCGUGUAAGGAAACAAUACAUCCUUAUCUAUUCACUAAAUCUUCUAAUGCUAUGAAAAAAAAGGAUAGAAUUUUGUGAAUUUUAUAAUUGGAAAGUUUAAGGAUAGGAAAUUAAUAUGAAAUUUGGCUUUUUUGUUUUUUUAAUUUGUAUUCCAAGUUAGUUUUUUACUAUUUAAGUCAAACAUUUCUAUUGGGUAUUGUUAAAUUAACAUGAGUAUUAUUGUUAAUAUAGAGGAAUGUGUGUUUGAGUGCGUUGAAGUGUUAGGUCUGUUCUUGACGUUUUUGGGCCUUAACAAAACAAUAAAAUGGGUUUCAAGUUCCUUAAAAGUUGAAGAAAAAAAAUUUGGUCCCUAAAAGUUGGUAAAAAAAAUUUGGCCUUUAAAAGUUAAAAAUAAGAAUUUUGGGCCCCUUAACAAUUGGAGAAUAAUAUUUUAGACCCCUUUCAGCCUUGGGCUCUGGGAAGCCGCACCUCUAGACGACCUCUAGAGCCAGGCCUGUGAAGCGCAUUAUCCUCUUAUUUAUGGGUUGGAGUAUAAUCAGAACCUAUAAUGAGAUUGUUAAAAAAAAUUUUAAAACAAAAAAGUUUUAAGAUGGAUUGUGAAUUUAAGGUUUUUUUUUAAUGGUUACAAGUUGCUUGGAAACAAAAUAUUAGUAAAUCAGAAUAGAAAAAUAAAUAAAUAAAUAAAUUGAAAACAAUUAGUCUCUCGAUAUGAUAAAUUAAUUUUGUUUAACAUUCGUUGUAACGACGGUUAGAAAGAAAACAAGCAGCGAAAAAAAUAAAAGAAGAAAAGAAUUGACACAACCGAUCUUUGUUAAUACAGUUUAGACACAGUGGUCCUAUAUUUGCGGAGCCUCUCCCAGUGAAUGAUUUUAUUCAACAAUCGUUCGGAUCACCUAUUGGCUUAAGCCCGAUUACCUUUACACAAAGAAAUAAUUCAAGCUUCAAUAUUGACCCCAAUUGUCACAAAUCACUCACCCAAAUACCUCACAAUAUGAUAGACUUUAAACUCCUAUUUAAAAGUUGAAAUUAUCCCAUUAAUUAUCUUUAGUACCCCAGGGUGAAUCAAACUCAGUAUAAACGAAACCUAUUUAAGGCCCAAGUCAAUAACUUAAGUAGAGAAACAGUUUCGUUAUAAUUGGACAUAAAACAAACAGCAAUUUUCCCAACAAAAACAUAAUGGGGAGAGCGAGACUUAUUCCUAAGUUGGCAAAUGCAAUUGCUCAGCUGUUUGUUUCAUGCAAAACUUAGUUGGCAAUUAACAAAUUCAAAUAGGCUCAACAUCUUUAACCUAUGGAUAGAAUUUCUAAUGCCAAUUUGAAUUCCUUCCUUCCAAGAAAUCCUUCAACAUUUUUAUCUCUUUGUGCAAGCAUUAUUGUAACAAGUCCAUCUUCUUAACUUUCACUAGAGAAUCUGUGGUGAUAUGGAGUUUACAGUAAACCCUAUUCGAAUGGGGAGUAACAAUCCUCUUUUGUCCGAUGAUUCUUUUGUUUUGGGUAAGAAUUCCAAAAUUCAUUUUACAAAGAGUAAACGAAAGUUGUGUUAUUGUUUAUGGGAAUACAUGAAAGUAAUCUAGAGUCGAGCAUUUUAUACCAUUUGUCUUAUAGAAUUUUGGGUUAACUUCGUUUGGUCGGUAAAUUUGACGAUAUAUGUCAUGUUAAUCUUUCUAAAAAAGUAAAUGGUGAAUUACAUUAAUGGUUAUCUAAUUAUGAUUUUUUUUUAUCACCCAACCAUAAAAAAUUACAAAAUAGUUAGUCAAUUAUUAGUAUUUUUUUUAUCAUCCAAUUAUAAAAAAGUGACAAAAUAAUCUUCAUUUUCAUGUUAACCGACUAAUAACUAAAAAAUUAAUUGAAUAAUUAGAUGAUCAUUUUGUAAAAUUUUCAUAGUUAGGUGAUAAAUGAAACUAUAAUCUGAGUGUCCUCUAUUAUAGUUUUGAGUAUAUAAAUAAUAAAAUUGCACAUCCUAUUUGAUAUUUUUGAGCAAAAGAAAAGAAAAGAAUAAUGAACUUGGAUACAUGGUAUUAGAGCGACUUAUGAUUGCAAUUGCACAUCCUAUAUGAUAUUUUUUUAGCAAAAAAAAAAAAGAGAAAAGAAUAAUAACCUUAAAUACAUGGUAUUAGAGCGACCUAUGAUUGCAAUUCCACAUUGACUUCCCAUAGGAUGGAUCAAUAGGUACUCCAAGUCAAACUCCUAAAGUGUGCAGUAGGAGAAAAUAACAACAAAACCCAUGACAAACGCAACACGAGUUUAGAUGGAGAAGAAUAUUAAGCGAAACACUAAAAAAAUUAGAUAACAUUAUUAAUCCCAUAUCAAAAAACAAAUAAGAAAACAAGUAGACUUGUACGCUCUAGGAAAGCAUAUGACUAAUAUCACUAGGGGGGUUUAGCUAGGUACAGCUGAUGGUCCCAAGUUGAAAGGGACUCUUGAGUAUCGCUGAUGUUUUGACCUUAGUCCUAUAUAAUAGGGGCAAAACACUAUCUAUCCGGCGCGUCCACACCCAAUGAGAUAGAUUUUUGGUCACCUAGACUGAAUGGUCUAUGGACGCCUCUAAUCCAGCUGACUUAUCCUAUUUUAUACACAAAAAUGUUGAAAUCUCUAAAUAAUGAAGAGUAAACUAAAAUCAAAUAGCUUCCAUUAACAAGACAUGGGGUUAGAGCUUAGGGUUUAGAAUUAAUAAAGAAUCAUGAUUGCAAGCCAAACCUGGAUCAUUCAUAUACAUUAGAUGACAAUGAUAUCUCUAUAAGUUUUAGCAUUAAAACUAGGUUUGAGGAAACAUCAAAACAGAAAAUCCAAUUUGCAGACAUAAAAUACUUCAUUAAUUACAUUAACAAAAAGCUUAUCAAACAUUCCUUUGGAAAACAAUUUUGCAAAGACACUGUUAACUGCACAUAAUGAUUUAUAUUUGACUUGUAUAAAAGCAAUUGUACAUACCUUUUCAAGAUUUUCAAUUCCCCUCUUUCUUGUUUCAUCUGCUAUAUAAUACAAAAUUCCCCAUCAGCUACAUGCAUAGCUAAAUAGAGCUUUAGGCAUUCAAAAAGCUAAAGAACACAUGUUGGCCUCGAGGAAACACACAGAACCGUGCACAACGUCACAUUUCCACUUUCUCAGCAUGCUCGAAUUGAUGAACACAACGAACAGUGCUAACACAAUACUAAAAAGGUUUUCUUUAUGGAAGACAACUUUCUAUGACCAUUUUUCCACGACACGCUCUGAUAAUCUAAUUUCCUCAUCCUUGGAAAUAUGUGGAUCUAGCUUCUGAAGGUUGUCAAUAAAUGUCUUUGCCUCAUCACGCUGAUUGAGUUUACAAUAUCCAUCAACUAUGGAAUUGUAUGUAUUCUGGUUUGGUUUACAGCCGUGCUUGAUCAUGAAUUGGACAACAUCUAUGGCUUCCUCAAACAAGGAAUCAGCUGCAUAGCUUGCAACAAAGGUAUUGUAAGUGAUAACAUCUGGAACAAGGCCAGAAUCACCCAUUUCUGAAAAUAUCCGAGAAGCCUCUUUCAUUCGACCGUUUCUACAAUAGGCAUAAAUAACAGUGUUAUACGAGAUUAUAUCUGGUUUUAUUCCUUUUGCCUGAACUUCCCUUAAAAUUUGUUCUGAUUCCUCGAACUUUUCAGAGCGGCUAUACAUAUACAUCAAACUGUUGUAGGUCGUCAAGCUCGGAGUAUACCCACACUCAUUCAUGAAGUUCAAGAUCUCAUUUGUCUUGGAAACCAUCUGCCUCCUGCCAUAUAUUGAGAGCAUGGCAUUUAGAGUAGUUAUGUCAGGUGGAAAUCCUUUCUUCCUCAAUUCCAAGAAAGCACGCUCUGUAUCCGCAAGAAGGUCGCAUUUACUAUUAACCAAAACAAGAGUCUUUAACAGCACAGCAUGAGGUUCGAUGAUACCGGAGUAUAUCUCUUCCGCUAGGGCAUGCAUCCGAUCUACCUGCUUCCCAUUGGCAUAAACAUGAAGCAAAGAACAGUAGGUUAGCUCAUUGGGUUUGCAACGACCGUCUCUCAUUUCAGCCAGUAUUUUCUCAGACUGCUUCCAAAGCCCUCCCCGUGCCAAUGCCGCCAAAACAGCAUUAUAUGUAGAAAGGUCGGGGGUAACUCCAGCUUCCAGCAUUCUCUUAUAAAUAGCCAUGGCUUGAUCAAAAGCACCACAGCGACUGUAUGCACUAAUUAAAGUGUUGAAUGUGUCCCUUUCAGGUACAAACCCUGCCCUCUUCAUCUCCUUGAACACUCCAGACACUUCUACAUCCAUUCCAUUUUGCCCAAAUACUGCCAGUAGUGUAUUCCAAGUAACAAUAUCCGGUGCACCAUUGCAUGCCUUGAUCUCGUCAAAAAUCUUCAUCAUCUCAGUGAACUUCCCGCGGUUACCGUGCAUCUUAAUUAGAGCAUUGAAAGUGCAAAUAUUCGGCUUGCAACCAGAAGUUCUCAUCUCCUCAAAAACCGCCAUUGCAGACUCAUCUUUUCCGGCCUUGGCAAAUCCCGACAAAAGAGUGGUAUAGGUAAAAACAUCAGGCUUAAUCCCUUUUCCCUCCAUCUGUGUUUUCAAGUCCAUUGCUUCCUGCAACAGACCAUCCCUAGCAUAAGCGGAAAUCAACGAAUUAUAAGUCACAGUGCUAGGGGCAAACCCAUUAAGCUCCAUCUCUUUUAAAACCUCCAUAGCUUCCUUCGGACGCCGAGACUUACCAUAAACAUCCAACAAUGCAUUGUAAGUAACAUUAUCUGGAGUAAAACCAGCCAAUUUCAUUUCAUCGAAAACCGAAGCCGCUUCCUCAUGCAAAGACCCUCGACGACAGCUACUUAUAAGCGUAUUAUAAGUAUAAGCAUCAGGGGCAAUUCCAUCACUUUUCAUUCCAUCAAAAAGAGCCAUGACCUUACUCCAAGGCAUGCCCAUUUUACCAUACACAUUCAAAACCACAUUAUAAGUUAUCAAAGUAGGUUUACAACCCUCUUCCUCCAUUUUCUUAAAAACCACCAUGGCUUCCCUAUACCUCCCACUACCAGCAUAAGCAGUUAUCAAUGAAGUAUAAGCAUAAACAUCAAGACUAAACCCUUCUUUGUGCAAACCAUUAAACAAAUUAGCUGCAACAGAAACCCUCCCCUCUUUCCCUAACAUACUAAUAAUAAUAGCAACAACAGAGCUAUUCAACACCAAUCCACAAUCAUUUCUAGCUCUAACCCAAUUGAAAACACCCAAAGCCAAGUUAGAUUUCUUGUAAAAACCCAAAGCUUUAACAAUUCCCACCACUUCCGCAGCCAAAAAAUCAGCUUUCACAUCUGGGUUUUCUUGGUAUUGCUCAAACAACUUACUCAAAACAACAUCAAGUUGAUUAGAAUCAAAAGAAGGUUCAAUUAAGGAAUUAAGAACCUGCUGACCUUGAGCAGAGAGGUUGUUAUGAGUCCAACGCUUCCCACGGUUGACGUCACGUGACCGGCCGAGACGGUUCCGGGUCCGGACUUGUGGGUCGAUGGGUUGUUGGGACUUAGAAUUAUGUCGAAGAAGGAGGUCUUGAAAGACUGGAGUCGAGGGAGCAGGUGAAUUGGGUUGUGAAGUUGGGUUUUGUUGAGUGAAGUGAGUUUGGUUUGAUAAUGGGGUUUUAACAGGUGGGGGAUUUGGAAGGAGAAGAGGGAGAGCAAGCCUCUCUGCCAUUAAAGAGAGGAUAAGAAAGUUGCAGCCUUUGUAUCUAUGGUUGAGUUAGAAACAGAGAGGGAGAAAAAGAAAAGGGUAAUUGAUAAUUUUAGUGCGCUUUCGUUAUUACUUGCAGAGUCCACAACUUUUUUUUUUAGAAGUCUAAGGCUUAAAGGGGGACAUGACAAAGAUAUGCGGAGGAUAUUUUAGGAGGUAAAAGGGAGAUUAUAUUCUUCUGUGGUUAAGAAUGAACUAUUGAAAUACUAUGACCAAUAAAAGGUUGCCACGUAAACUCUGAAAGCGGACUCUUAAGUCAAAAUUGGUGACGUUUGCCCUCUUCAAAAUUAGUUCGAUUAGACAAAUUAUACUUAUUUAAACAUUUUCUCUUUUAUUUUUAUAUAAAAAUUAAUUUAAAGUGAAGCUUAAUAUUAUUAUAUUAAUAAUAUUUUUUAUUUUAAAAAAUAUUUAAAAUUAAUAAAAUAUUUAUAAUUUUCAAUAUUAUUAAUCAUACUUAUUUAAUUAUCUAUUUCUAAUCAUAUUAAUAACUUAUUAUUUUAAUAAUUUAUUUAAUAAUUUAAUUUUAUUUUAAAAAUAAAUUUGAAAAAUAAUAAUUUUAAAUAAUAUUCUUCAUAUAGUAUUGAAAAAUAUUCAAUGUUAAUAUUUUAAUAAUAAAUAUUUAUUACAAUUAUAAAUAUAUUACAGAUAAAUAUUUUGUAGUAUAAAUGUUAAAAUAUGUCAUAAAUAUAUAUACUCCUCACAAAUUUGAAAUUUAGUCCCUAUUCUUUUAUUUUCAAGAAUUUAAUCAUUCUACUGUUCAUAUUUAAAAAUCAAGUCCAAUUGUUAACAUUGUUAAAUUUUUUUUGUCAAUUUUGUUGAUGUCAAUUUUUAAAUAAAAAAUACUUGAUAUUCAUGUAACUAAAAGAUGACGUUACAAUUAACAUGAAUUUAACAAAAUAUUUUUAAUAAUGCUAUCAGAUGAACCUUAAUUUUGAUAUAUAAAAGGUAGGACUAACCCAAAAAUAAAAGCACAUGGACUAAAUUUCAAAUUUACGAAAAGUACAAUGACUUAUGACAUAUUUUAACCUAGUAUAAAAAUAUGAAUAUUUUAAUUAUAUAAAUUUGAAUAUUUGUUUAAGUAAUGUUUAGCUUCAUUUAUCCUUUACAACUCUAAUGUGUCAAUAUCUAUUCUCACAUAUCUAAUAUAUAUAAUUAAAAUUAAGUUUUAAUUAAGCAUUAUUUAUUAUUAAGUUUAUAUAUGACACUGAUUAUUACAAAAUAUUUUCUUAUUAUAAAAUAAAUUUCAAUUGUUAAAAGGAAAUUGCACUGUAAUAUUUUAUAACAAAUAUAUUUAUGUCAUGUUUGUUUUACAAAGAACAAUGUAAAAUAUAAAUUUAUAGAUAUAAAAUAAACUCAAUUAAACAAUGAAAAUAUAAGAAAAUCUCAUAUGUAUGUUUGUUUCAUUGAAAACAACUUUUAUGAAAUAUUUAUAGUAAAUCUGUCAAAUAACAGAAAAUAUUAAUUUUUCAAAAAAGUAAGUCAUUUUCCAGAAAUCAUUUUUCGGAAGUCAUUUUCAGUGAAACAAAUGGAACCUAAACUUGAAAAUCGUAAGUUAACUUGAUAUUUUUUUAGGCACCUAAUACUAUUAAAAUAUACUGACAUAACACUGACGAUCAAUUGGAUGGUGACACGUGAUAACCUCACAUUUUUUAUUAUAAAUAUUAUAUUUUUUUAUUUUGCCACGUGUCAAAAUAUAAGGCUAUCACGUGUCACCAUUCUAUUAGUAGUCAACGUCACAUCAGCGUAUUUUAAUGAUGUUAGUCAAGUAGCUAAAAAAACACAAAGUUGACUUAUAAUUUUUAAGUUUAGGUACCAGUCAGGGCCAAAAUUAAACUAUGUAAUUGAUAUUUAUGUCAUUAUUGUUGUUUAUUUGUGUAACUAAGAAUUGAUGACUUUAUUGUUUCAACCACUAAUUCGGUUUCCAAAAAACAUUGAUUCAAAGGAAACUAACCUAAACCGAACUAUAUAAUUGAUGUUUAUGCCAUUAUUAUAUAUGUGUUUAUAAUAACUAGAAUCGAUAACUUAACCGUUUCAACCACCUCUUCCAACUUCUAAAAAAAACAUUGGUAAAUGGAAGUUAGAUUAUUUUCAAAUCUUCAAGCUUUAUAAGUUAUUGAAUCGAGUGAUAAAAUACUUAUUAAUUCAUAAAAAGUUGAUGAAUCGUUUGAAAAGAAAGAAAAAGAAAAAGAAAAACCAAUGCUAAAAAAUGCUUGUUUCUUAUUUAGAAGUCCAAUUCAACUCAAGUUGUGUUUAGUAUUACUUUUAAGAAGUAUUUUUGAGAAAAAAAUACUUUUGAGAUAAAAACAUUAUUAAAUAAAAUGCUAAAUUGACCCGCAAUCGAUACCUGUGGGNNNNNNNNNNNNNNNNNNNNNNNNNNNNNNNNNNNNNNNNNNNNNNNNNNNNNNNNNNNNNNNNNNNNNNNNNNNNNNNNNNNNNNNNNNNNNNNNNNNNNNNNNNNNNNNNNNNNNNNNNNNNNNNNNNNNNNNNNNNNNNNNNNNNNNNNNNNNNNNNNNNNNNNNNNNNNNNNNNNNNNNNNNNNNNNNNNNNNNNNNNNNNNNNNNNNNNNNNNNNNNNNNNNNNNNNNNNNNNNNNNNNNNNNNNNNNNNNNNNNNNNNNNNNNNNNNNNNNNNNNNNNNNNNNNNNNNNNNNNNNNNNNNNNNNNNNNNNNNNNNNNNNNNNNNNNNNNNNNNNNNNNNNNNNNNNNNNNNNNNNNNNNNNNNNNNNNNNNNNNNNNNNNNNNNNNNNNNNNNNNNNNNNNNNNNNNNNNNNNNNNNNNNNNNNNNNNNNNNNNNNNNNNNNNNNNNNNNNNNNNNNNNNNNNNNNNNNNNNNNNNNNNNNNNNNNNNNNNNNNAAUAUAUCUUAAAUUUUAUUUUAUUGUAAUUUUAUAUGAAUUGAUUAUAAUUUUAAUUGACCGAAUAUAUAUCCUUUAUUAUUUAUAUUAUAUUUGUACUUGUAAUUUUUUUAAAAAUUUAAAUUAAACAUGCCCUUUUUUUAAAAAUGUAAAUAUAAAUAUUUGUUUAUAUUAUAAUGUGUUUAUAAUAAGAGUCAGAUUAUAUAUAUAUAUAUUUGUAAUAGAGUCAGAUUAUAUUUUACAUCUUCUGUUCGAAAAAAUUGGAAAAUUAAUCAACAGAUAAAAAUUAAAUCUAUUCUUAUUAUUAAAAAUUAUUUAAUUUCUGAAAAAAUUCUUAUAGGUAACCUUUUAGAUCUUUUUUAGCUGUGUUUAUUAAAAAAAAUAAAAAAAUAUAAAAGUAGUUUUUUUAGAGUAAAUGUAAAACUUUAAAAUAAUUGUAAUAUGUAAAAUUAAAAAUAUUAAACUAUUUACAACCGUCGGAUUAAAAAUGAUAUAUUUUUGAAUGAUGAUGAAGAUCGAUUCCUGAUGUAUAUAAAUACUGCCUUCUAUUCCCUUCAGUCUUCGCUUCACCCACUUUCUCAUUUCACACGGGUUGUGGCGUAGUUUAAGCAGAGAGGGUGCGCAGGAUAAAGCUAUUCACCAUUGUUUCAACAUGAAGGUUUGUAAUAAAAAUUUGUUUCUAUCAGCAUUGCUUUGCAUUGCUGUUGCAGGAGUUUUGGGUCAAGCUCCUAGUAAUCCUCCUACGUCUACGCCGGCGCCACCCACACCACCGGCUUCUACUCCUCCUCCGACGACUCAAGCACCGCCUACACCAACCGCCACUCCGCCACCGGUUUCUACUCCUCCUCCCACUUCAUCACCGCCCCCAGUGACAGCUUCUCCACCCCCAGUUUCAACUCCUCCACCCAGUUCUCCUCCUCCUGCAACUCCACCACCUGCUUCUCCUCCUCCUGCAACUCCACCUCCAGCUUCUCCACCUCCUGCCACUCCUCCACCAGCUUCUCCACCUCCCGCCACUCCACCACCUGCAACCCCACCGCCAGCAACUCCUCCUCCUGCUACCCCACCACCAGCUCCAUUGGCUUCUCCUCCAGCCACAGUCCCAGCUAUCUCUCCAGUACAAACACCAUUGACAUCGCCACCAGCUCCGCCGACCGAGGCCCCAGCACCUACCCUCGGGG